UGAAGAACUGGAGAAGGCGCCAGAUACGGCCAAAUUCUGCCCACAUAUCAUGUCCUUUUCACUGCAGCCCUGGCUUCGUGUGCCGAGCGCCCUUUCAAGAGAUGUAUCGCGAAUGUAUGAGUUGAUUUCCUGAACGCUAGAUGAUUUCCUGUUAUUGUUCUCCCUGUGCUAAGGAGUACCCUCUUUUAUCCUAAAGAUUACUAAGAACUUGGAAGUGCUUGAAGCUAUGGAUUGUUUCCUAUCCCGUGAUGCCUGUGAGCAUCAGAAAAUCCUGCAACUGUAUUCUCCCAUCAUCUGUAAGCUUGUUGUGCUUGACUGCUGUGCAAUAAUCGUUUGAUAUUAUUUUUGUGAAGAUGAUCAUUUCGACCUUAGUUGCUCCCUCCUCGCUGAAUUAUAGCGCAUUUUUCUUAAAAAAGGUCAAACUUUGUAAACCUUAUCACAAAAUUUAUUGACAAUUUAUCAACAGUUACAAUACAAAAUCAGUGCCAUUAGAUUCGUCAUAAUGAACCUGUAUUUUCAUAUAUUCGGUAUUGUAAAUGUUCAUUACAGCUCUUGCCUAACCGCUUGACCGUUUGACCGACCGACGAGUCUUCGGCGAGUCGUGCGGGGCUGUGUCCGGCACUGACAGUGGGAUGCCCGAUGAGCUGGUCCGGUCUCCUCUCGCUCCUCGUCCCCUGCCUCCUCUCCUUCGUCCUCCUCCGCUUCUCCGCCCUGCUGGACCCCGGCGCCGCCGUGCCCCGCGUCAAGAGGUCCCCUCCCCUGCCCCUUCGCUUCCGCCAUGACGGCGCCUUCAAGAUCCUCCAGGUCCGUACCUUCGCUCGCUCGCCCGAUUUCCCCUCGCUGCCCGCUGACCCCUGCUUGCUUGCUCGCUGGCGUUGUCAGGUGGCGGACAUGCACUUCGGCAACGGCGCCGCCACGCGCUGCCGGGACGUGGCGCCGGAGGUCGGCGGCGCGCGCUGCUCCGACCGCAACACCACGCGCUUCCUGCGCCGGCUCAUCGAAGCGGAGAGGCCCGACCUCAUAGCCUUCACCGGUGCGUGCUUUGGUUUGCUCCCCUCGCUUCCCCUGUUACUCACAGGCAGCUGCUGCUAGGUGGUUACCUAGCUACAGUGAUCGCGACUCCACCCCACGCUGUCUGCCCUGGCCGUUGAGACUCUUGCAGAUUCGCCAUUUGAAGCAUUGCAACGGAAUUAGAUCCAGUCGAUUAGGUAGCUAGUUUACCUGUAACAUUUCUACCAGCGAUAUACAACGACAAAUUAGUGCCCUAUGUAGUACCAGCUUGAUGGAUCUUGUAAGUUGACUUCAUGAAUACUUCCUGUUUGCGUUCAGAUUUCGGAGGUGGCGGCUGGAAUUUUCCACUAUGUAUUACACUCUUAUCGCCUAUUUACUUGUAGCUCAUCGAUGCUCGGAUGUUAUGGAUUGUCUCUCGUGACCUGCUGAUGGCAUUUGUAUAACCCCGUGGGGAUUUACUUUGCAAGCAAUGUGGACCCAUCGUUACUGAUGCUUAGGGGUUUAACACUCUGGAUGGAGCUAAUGUCAGAGUACUAAGCUUACAUCCUGCUUCUACAACUACAUCUGGGCGGGUUAGCUCUUGUACACAAGGGAUUCACGCAUCGGUCCUCUUGGUUCUGAUGAUGGCAUUUAUGCAUGAUUUCAUCAGUAGGGUGAUUGGUGCAAAGAGACCAAACUCACCAAACUGUAAGAAGUUGUUUUUAGAAUUUGGACCAGAUCAACAUUCAACAUGAACAUGGGCAACGUUCCCCUCUUAGCAUUAAUAGAGUACGAAUUAUCCUGCGUGAACAAAAGCCAGCAGUUAUUUCUCUGUCAUGUUGAGUUAGGAGAGUUUGGACUACUGAACAGUCUUUGAUCUCUUGGUGUAGCUGCUAAAAUACAUCCAUUUCCGCGACAAGUAAUUCGGGACGGAGGGAGUAGUUAUUAACCGCAACCACUGCUUUUCUCUUCCAUCAGCGCCUCUCUGAAAAGUUCUAUUAUACUCCCUUCGUCCCCAAAUAGAUGGCGUAUACAUUCAGUUAAAAAGUCAACUAUUUCUAAGUUUGACCAAAUAAAUAGAAGAAAUUAUCAACAACUACAUAUGAAUAAAUACAUUAUGGGUAUGAAUAUAUAUGUAAUGUUGGAUAUAUUGAUAUUGAUUUCGUAUCGUUUAUCUUCAUAUUUUUGUAUUUAUGCCCGGUCAAACAUAGAAAGCAUUGAUUUUUUUGACUCAGUUUAUAUGCCAUCUAUUUAGGGACGGAGGGAGUACCACUUUGAGUUACUACAUUAUUUACUUGUUUCCAGUUCUCUUAAUCAUAGAAAAGGCUGAACAACUUAAAAUUUAAUCCUUCUGCUUUAAUUUUGAAUCAGGGGAUAACAUAUUUGGGGGCAGUGCAACUGAUGCAGCGGAAUCACUACUCAGAGCAAUUAGCCCUGCUAUUGAGUACAAGGUACCAUGGGCUGCCAUAUUAGGAAAUCACGACCAGGAAUCCACAAUGACGCGAGAGGAACUGAUGAUGUUCUUGUCUUUGAUGGAUUACUCAGUAUCUCAAGUAAACCCUCCUGGUUUUCUGGUACAUGGGUUUGGCAAUUAUCAUGUUGGCAUACAUGGGCCAUUUGGAUCGGGGUUGGUCAAUACUAGUCUGCUUAACCUUUACUUCCUCGAUAGUGGGGAUCGUGAAGUAGUAGAUGGAAUUAAAACUUAUGGAUGGAUAAAAGAAUCUCAGCUUGCUUGGCUCAGUACUACUUCAAAAAAACUCCAGGUACUAGCUUGAUCACAGCACCUAACAUCUCAGUGUGGAAUGUGUCACCAUUGCGGAUGGAGAUCCUAACAACUAGUAUAAAUAUGUCAUGUCUGUUGGUCUAUUACCCCUUGCCUUUUUCUGCUAUAUGUUGAAGAACAUAUUUGUAAUCAAUCCGCUGGAUUAUUGUUCUGUUCAUAUUUUACCAGUCUUUGAGCUAAUCUCCCAUGUCACAUUCUGGUACAUGGGUUUGGCAAUUAUCAUGUUGGCAUACAUGGGCCAUUUGGAUCGGGGUUGGUCAAUACUAGUCUGCUUAACCUUUACUUCCUCGAUAGUGGGGAUCGUGAAGUAGUAGAUGGAAUUAAAACUUAUGGAUGGAUAAAAGAAUCUCAGCUUGCUUGGCUCAGUGCUACUUCAAAAAAACUCCAGGUACUAGCUUGAUCACAGCACCUAACAUCUCAGUGUGGAAUGUGUCACCAUUGCGGAUGGAGAUCCUAACAACUAGUAUAAAUAUGUCAUGUCUGUUGGUCUAUUACCCCUUGCCUUUUUCUGCUAUAUGUUGAAGAACAUAUUUGUAAUCAAUCCGCUGGAUUAUUGUUCUGUUCAUAUUUUACCAGUCUUUGAGCUAAUCUCCCAUGUCACAUUCACAUUACGGGAUUUGCACCAUACUCAUUAGCAACUUCUGUUGUUUAUCAGCAUUGUUUGAAAUAAAAAAAGGCUACUCCUCUUUGUAAUAUAUAUUUUUUGACAACUGGUACUUGACAAUAUCCUUUAUUUGACAGCAAAAUUUGCCUGCCCCUGCAUUAGCAUUCUUCCACAUCCCAAAUCCAGAAGUCCGAGGGCUGUGGUACACAGAUUUUAAGGGUGAGUAUCAGGAAGCAGUGGCUUGCUCAUUAGUUAACUCUGGUGUCCUUGACACCCUCGUCUCCAUGGGAGAUGUGAAAGGUGUCUUUCUUGGUCAUGAUCAUCUUAAUGAUUUCUGUGGCAACCUUAACGGCAUAUGGUUCUGUUAUGGCGGUGGCUUUGGUUACCAUGCCUAUGGAAGGCCUCAUUGGCCGAGGAGAGCUCGGGUAAUUUAUACUCAGCUCAAGAAAGGGCAGAGAUCAUGGACGGAAGUCGAGUCGAUACAGACUUGGAAGUUGCUUGAUGAUGAAAACCUUUCCAAGAUCGACGAGCAGGUUCUCUGGAGAGACAGUGACGAUGACUCUUACCAGAGUGUACACUUGUAAACUCCGGACACUAAAAGAUCUCUUUGUAUGUUGUAAACAUGUUUGAUCAAUUACAAUACAUCAAAUUGGUAGGUUUGAUCAAAUUAGUCAUGAUUGGCCACAGACCAAAUUAGUCAUCACCUGUAUAUGAUACUGAUGUAUCUUGUUCAUAUGCAAAUCCCUUGCUUGGGUUGUUGAAACCAGUUGUAAACAUGAUGUGAAGAGGUAAUUUGUCCCCUUGAUGUGGCAGUUAGCCUGAAUAAUUUUCUUGUGUAUGGAUUGACUGUAAUCUGUGCUUCAUUAUACUCAUAUACUCCCUCCGUUCCUAAAUAUAAGUAUUUUAAGACAUUUCAAAUAGACUAUAACAUACGGAUGCAUGUAGACAUAUUUUAGAGUGUAGAUUCACUCAUUUUGCUCGGCAUGUAGUCACUUGUUGGAAUCUCUAGAAAGACUUAUAUUUGGGAACGGAUGGAGUAAAAGAUAGUAUGAAUUAGACAACAUAUGCCUGAUUUUAAUAACAAAAAAGAACACCUGUGUAGUAUAAAGAAAGAAAGCUGGGCAUCUUAUAUAUAACUCAGUUGGCCCUUCUUUCUAUCAAGAAGGAAAGAAAGAACCCAAGGUAUUCAUAAAGCAAAAAAGGGAGUAUGAACUAUCCAUAAAGUUUUCUGAUGUACCAAGGUAUUGUCAACCGUCUGAUCUUCAACUUCUGGUUCAGAUAUAGGCCUUCAAUCAUUUUUGCACCACAACCUUGAGUUCUAUCAAAAUCAACCUGUAGCGUGCCCCUCUCUCUUCCGUCAUUUAAUGCAUGCAUUUCAAAUUUGCUCAAAGCAGAUAAAGGGCCAUGAAUUUUGAACCUGACAUCUGAUUCCUGAUCAGUUUUGUUCACCCCCUUCCACUUGACAGCAUCUUUGAAACAAACCAAUGUCGAAUAUGAUUUUAAAAUUUUAGUUUGUCUGCCUUAACUGAAAAAAUCAUGGAACUUUCAGGAACCAUUAUUUAUUUAUGCAAAUAUCGUAGAAGGGUUUUGGUGAGCCUCACUGUUUUUCCGAAAAGGAGGUUAUUCCCCGGCCUCUGCAUCAGAACGAUGCAUACAGCCAUAUUAUUGGUAAGCAAAAGGUUCAACAAUAGUCUUCAUGUCUCAAAAAAGGAGAAUGACUCACAUAGAACAUAAACAAAAGAACAGGAUAGCAACCGGCAGGCAAAAAAUAAGAUAGGAAACUACACACCUAUCCUAUUACAUGACCGCCAUCCAAAUCGGUUGAAGAUAGCCCGUGCUACCGUCUCCCAUCGGAUAUAUCCAGUAACCAUACGCUCCCUGGCCUCCGUCGGAGUAAGUAGCGACCACAUACGGAUCAAUGCGGUGGCCCGGAAAAUAACCUGCAAGAAAUGAAUAUGUGUUGUUCUGUUAACAACAAAUCGUUUCUGCAGUUCCAAACAAUCCAUAAUAAAAGCACAUACUCCUACACAGACAUGUCUUGCUGUUUCUGAAUCUAUCCCAUCUAGCCACGUCCCAAAUAACGUGUUGAUAGUAUUCGGAGGAGUGAUAUUAAAUGCUAUGUGGACCGACCGCCACAAUUUUUUUGCCAAUGGGCAGUGAAGAAAGAGGUGUUUGAUGGAUUCAUCACGAUCACAGAAGCUACACCUUGUAGAUCCUGUCCAGUUGCGUUUUGCCAAAUUGUCCUUAGUUAGAAUGACUUGUUUAUGGACAAACCACAUAAACAUUUUAAUUUUUAAAGACACUUUGACUUUCCAAACAUGUUUCGAACGAGGAAUAGAGGUAGAGUUGAUAACAUCCAAAUACAUGGAUUUAACCGAAAACUCACCAUUCUUAGUUAGUUCCCAGCGCAACUGAUCGGGCUGUUGAGAUAGGUGAACAUCCAUCAACCGUCUCACAAGAUGGAGCCAAGCUUCCCAACGGUUUCCCGCUAACGUCCUCCUGAAUUGAAUAUUAAGAGGAUUGGACUGUAAUACUAUUGCAACGUAAGCGUCUCUUCGCUGAACACUAUUAUAGAGAGAAGGAUAUUGGAGUGCAAGGGGCGUCUCCCCUAACCAUGUAUCCUCCCGGAAUCUCGUGGUAGUACCAUUUCCAACUACAAAUUUUGUCCUGUUGAAAAAGACUGAUUUCACUCUCACCAGUCCUCAAAAAGGCGAAUCAGUCGGCCUGACCGUCACCUGGGAUAAGGUUUUGGAUUGAAGGUACUUAUUACACAGAAUCUGGGCCCAUGUGGCAUCCGUCUCUACAGAUAGCUUAUACAGCCACUUGCUGAGAAGACAUUUGUUCUUCACCUCUAGAUUUUCAAUGUCGAGACCCCCUUGGUCUUUCGGCCUACAAAUGAUAUCCCAUUUAGCGAGUUUGUACUUUUGUUUUAAUUCGUCGCUCUGUCAGAAGAAGCGCGAUCGAUAGAAAUCUAGCCUUUUCCAAACUCCAAUUGGUACCUCAAAAAAGGACAAGAGAAUCAUAGGCAUACUCGUGAGUGCCGAAUUAAUGAGAAUUAGUCGGCCUCCAUAUGACAUAAGCUUGCCCUUCCAGUAGUUUAGUUUCUUUCCAAAUCGAUUCUCAAUACACUUCCAUUCUUUGUUGGAAAGCUUGCGAUGGUGGAUUGGUAUACCCAAAGACGUGAAGGGUAAGGACCCUAAUUCGCACCCGAACAAUUGUUUGUAAGCUUCUUGUUCAUCUUUAGUUCUUCCAAAGUAGAACAAUUCACUUUUAUGGAAGUUAAUCUUUAACCCCGACAAUUGUUCGAACAAGCAUAACACAAGCUUCAUGUUUCUUGCUUUCGCCAAAUCAUGCUCCAUGAAGAUGAUAGUAUCAUCAGCGUACCGUAGGAUAGACACUCCUCCGUCGACUAAAUGCGGAACGAGGCCACCUACCUUGCCAUUAUCCAUAGCCCUUCCUAUUAGGUUUGUCAACAUGUCGACCACUAUGUUGAAUAGAAUCGGUGGCAUCGGGUCUCCUUGCCUCAGACCCUUGUGUGUCUGGAAGUAAUGACCUAUGUCAUCAUUCACUUUGAUUCCAAUACUCCCUUUUUGUGUGAAAGAAUCUACUUGGUUUCUCCAGGACUGAUAGAAUCCUUUCAUAUGCAAUGUUGGGGAAUGCAGUAUUUCAAAAAAAUUCCUAUGAACAUGCAAGAUCUAUCUAGGAGAUGCAUAGCAACGAGACGGGAGAGUGUGUCCACGUACCCUCGUAGACAGAAAGUGGAAGCGUUUAGUAACGCGGUUGAUGUAGUCGAACGUCUUCACGAUUCAACCGAUCCAAAUACCGAACGUACGACACCUCCGUGUUCAGCACACGUUCAGCACGAUGAUGUCCCUCGAGCUCUUGAUCCAGUUGAGGACGAGGGAGAGUUCCAUCAGCACGACGGCGUGGCGACGGUGAUGAUGAAGUUACCGGUGCAGGGCUUCGCCUAAGCACUACGACGAUAUGACCGAGGUGUGUAACUGUGGAGGGGGGCACCGCACACGGCUAAGAGAAGACUUGUUGUCCUUUGGGGUGCCUGUCGUGGUUCUAAGUCUGACAGUAGAAAGGGGGGUACGUAGGAGGAGGCAAGAUCCUAGCUACGAUGAGGUUGUGCACGCAAGAUUUAUGAGUUCAGACCCUUCUCAGAGGAAGUAAUAGCCCUACGUCUCGGUGCCCUGAGGCGGUCGACUAGAUUAUGCGUAAAGUUACAGGGGGUGCGAAGCCUUGUCUUAGUGGAGGGGGUGGCUUAUAUAGAGUGCGUCAGGACCCCAGCCAGCCCACAUUACAAGGAGUUCAAUGUACAUAAAGGUGAGGCGUUACUGGUAAUGCCAGCAAUAAAGACAUAUAAAUGAUCAUUAACACUACGGAGUGAACGCCUGGCUGUUGCCAUCCUGAGUGACUUUAGGUCUUCUGUAUUCCGAGUGGUUUCUUGUACGGUCGAAUGGUGAUAUACUGGUCGAAUGGUGAUAUACUUAUCGAAUGGAAUUGGGUUAUCCGAGUGGAAUUGUUGGUCGAGUGGGUUGCACUCUGAGGAGAUUCCAGUCGGUGGAAAUUGUUGUGCUUUGAAUGUUGUUGAUCUUUGGGUAGUGUCCUUGGGAAGGGCGUCUAGGUCAGGCCUACACUACAAAAAAGACACAUCCGUGACAUUUUGGGCCGAACGAAUUUUUUUCUGUCAUACAUAUGACACUUCUAUGACGAUAAUUGUGACAAAACCCGGUAUCAUCAUAGAUGUGGUGGGCUCCUACUUCUAUGACAAAAUAUCAUGACAGAAAAUGGGCUUUUCGUCCUGGGCGGGCCGGAGACGCAGCUGCGUGACAUUCUUUGGGCCGUCCAUGACGGAAAAAACCAUGGUAGAAGCGAGGGGGAGGAAAAUUUCGGGGAGUUCCCGGUUACGAUGGGAGGUCGGGGGACGAGCGAUGCGCGUUUAUCUCAUACACGUACGCGCGUGUGUGUGAGGCGUUGGCUCUAAUUGAACCCGAGCGAGGCGUUGGGCUCUAACUGAACCCGAGCGAUUGCACUGCAGGCUACGCGUUACUGAACCCGAGCGAUCGAUCGAUGGCUGUUAACUGAACCCGAUCGAGCGAUUCCUUCGCUGCUGCUGCUAACUGAAGCCGAUCGAUUGGAUGAACAGUNNNNNNNNNNNNNNNNNNNNNNNNNNNNNNNNNNNNNNNNNNNNNNNNNNNNNNNNNNNNNNNNNNNNNNNNNNNNNNNNNNNNNNNNNNNNNNNNNNNNNNNNNNNNNNNNNNNNNNNNNNNNNNNNNNNNNNNNNNNNNNNNNNNNNNNNNNNNNNNNNNNNNNNNNNNNNNNNNNNNNNNNNNNNNNNNNNNNNNNNNNNNNNNNNNNNNNNNNNNNNNNNNNNNNNNNNNNNNNNNNNNNNNNNNNNNNNNNNNNNNNNNNNNNNNNNNNNNNNNNNNNNNNNNNNNNNNNNNNNNNNNNNNNNNNNNNNNNNNNNNNNNNNNNNNNNNNNNNNNNNNNNNNNNNNNNNNNNNNNNNNNNNNNNNNNNNNNNNNNNNNNNNNNNNNNNNNNNNNNNNNNNNNNNNNNNNNNNNNNNNNNNNNNNNNNNNNNNNNNNNNNNNNNNNNNNNNNNNNNNNNNNNNNNNNNNNNNNNNNNNNNNNNNNNNNNNNNNNNNNNNNNNNNNNNNNNNNNNNNNNNNNNNNNNNNNNNNNNNNNNNNNNGAGGUCCGUUUCGUCCGUUUUGCGGUACGUCACACCCCUCCCGAUCAACAGGACCCCCGUUUCGACCAUAGGAGGUCCAUUUCGUCCGUUUUGCAGUAUGCCACACCCCUCCCGAUCAACAGGACCCCCGUUUCGACCGUAGGAGGUCCGUUUCCUCCGUUUUGCGGUACGCCAGACCCCUCCCGAUCAACAGGACCUCGUUCAGGCCUCGUUUCCAUCGCUUGUUCCGUCCAAACCCUCCAUAUGAACACGACCACGCAUUCUGUUCCGACCUAGCCGACUGGCUCCCACGCGUUCUGUUGCCUCCCAAUGAACACGAGACAUUCCAUUGCCUCCCCAUAAACACGACGCAUUCCGUUGCCUCCCCAUGAACAUGAUGACGACGCUGUUUCUCCGUUCCGACCCAGCCAUGUACACGAGCCCUGACCGUACGUAUGCACGAGUAGGCGUUCGAGACGCCGCCCGUAUGUACACAUACGUGGCCGUAUUUUCUUUCUUGCACCCUGGCUGCUGUACGUACGUGUACAUGCUACGUGCGCGCCUCUACUACGACACGUAGUCGCCUCUACUAUGACACGUGCGCGCCCCUACAUCCACCAGUAUAUAUGUACGUACACGUUCGCGAUCAGAAUGACAACGCUACAUAUGCUUCGACCAGGUGAGUCCCGACUGUCAGACACUUCCUUGCCUGUGAAGAUGUAGCUGGUGGGUCCCAGCAGUCAGGGGGGCGAAUCGUUUUUUUGCCCGGACACACUUCCUUGCAUGCGAAGAUGUAGCUGGUGGGUCCCAACAGUCAGGGGCAAACGUUUUUUUUGCGAAAUACGGUGGCCCGUCCGGUGGUUCCCCGCUGUCAGGUGGAGGAAUAAUUAUUUUGCAUGUAAUAAGGAGGCAUUUCCUUGCUGCGUCCGUGGACCCAGCUGUCAGCCUCUCCACGUACAGUCCACGUCCGAUGGAAGCCGUUCCUUCACCACGUUGACCACGCCGCGCCGAGAGCACCAGGGCGAUGGACGACGGCGAGGCCUAGGAAGGGGACGACGCAGAGCCGGGGAAGACACGACAGUGGAUGCCCACGCGUAGAGGAGUACGAGGGUUCACUGGUUCGCUGCGGUGUGAGGCUGUCGUCGCCGCAGAAUAACAGGGGGUGUGGGUGAGUAGAGGGAUAGCUUGGCUAGCGAUGGAAGUAGUAGGGGGCGGUGAGGCCUCCGCCGCAUCGCAGCCGGCCACGGGAGACAGGAGCACGAGGCACGACCGGCGCUGGUUUGGGCGACUGGAGUAAGUAGACCAGAGGUUGAAGAAGCACUAUGGCCGUUGGAUGGACAUCGUACGGUCACUAGAGCUAGAAUCGUGCAUAUUGACUAACUUGACAAAGCCCUCCGUCCCCGUCAACUUAGUAGGCCCACAAGUCAGCCUGCCACUAUAGUGGGUCCCAGCUAAUAGGGGGAGUAUUCAUUUUUUUGUGCGUAAUAAGGAGGCACUUCCUUGCGUGCGAUGAUAUAGCUGGUGGGUCCGAGCUGUCAGCGGCGGUAACGUUUUUUUCGAGAAAUACAAAGGCCCUUUCGGUGGGUCCCUGAUGUCAGGUGGAGGAAUCAUUAUUUUGCGCGUAAUAAGGAGGCAUUUCCUUGCGUGCGGCCGUGGACCCAGCUGUCAGCCUCUCCACGUACUGUCCACUUCAGAUGCAUGUCGGUCGUUGACCACAUUGACCAGGCCGCGCCGAGAGCACCAGGGCGGUGGACGACUGUGAGGCCUAGGAAGGGAACGACAUGGAGGCAGGGAAGAAUCGGCAGUUGUUUCCCACACGGAGGGGAGUACGACUGUACGAGGGUUUACUGGUUCGUCUGCCGUCGCCGGAGAAUAACAGCAUGUGUGGGUGAGUAGAGGGAUGGCUAGGCCAGCGAUGGGAGUACGGUGGGGCGGUAAGGCCUAUGCGGCAGCAGAGCCGGCCGCGGGGAGGAGGGAGCAGGCAGUCCCGCCGACGCUUGUUUGAGCGGCUGAAGCAGGAAGAACAGAGAUUGAAGAAGCACGACGGCCGUUGGAUGGCCAUCCAACAGUCACUGCUUGUGCGUCAACCUUUUUUUAGGAAAGCCUCAAAUCUGUGGAAAACAGCAUACAUCCCAUCUGCCAUUAUUUCUAAUAAUUUACAACCCAUUUGCUAAUUAUUAAGGUUUUUUGGAGCCCAUAUUCUUUUUGUUAUCAUUACAGCCCAUAUUGUGGCCACGGUUAAAAAAAUAUACGAAAUUUUGCAUAUUUCGGUGCAGUCCGAACUGUUUUUAAUCCUAAAAUUUCGACUCACAUUCAAACUGAUUUUAAAAAUAAAUGUAUAUCAAUAUAAAAUCCAACAAAUUCUCCACGCAUAAAAAUUAAUGUAAUUUAAAAUCUCGAAAUGAAAAAAAGAUAUUUGAAACUAAUUGCCGGUUUGAUGUGUUUUAAAAAUAUACAGCCCAUUUUUCAUUACUGAUAGGCCAUUUUCUCGGCUAGCUGAAUGAAGCUCUCCUCGUCUUGAAAGAUUUGCAGUCCAACAGGCCUGACAAAGUGACUUACUUGCCAAAUCACAAAAAACUGGGCUGUGGCCGUGGACCCAGCUGUCAGUCCAUUUGGUUUUUUAGUCCAUUUGGUGGGUUGGGUGAAACAAUGAUGUAGCAUCUAUGCAGCCCGUUUAAAUCUCAUUUGCAUUUUCCUCGAAAUCCGCGGACUUGCUGGGCUAGGUGAAAAUAUCAUGUUGGGCUAGACGGAAAAAUGUUAUAAAAACAUAAACACAUGAUUGCACGUCAGUAAAAUCUUUGCAAGCUUAUGUACGCAAUCACUAGGGGUUAACUUGCCAAGUUAUAUAUAAACAAUUAUUAUUAUUAUUUUGUCAGAACUUUCAACUUACGAAAUAAAUUAUCAUUUUAAUUUGAUGAGUUAAUAGUAUGUGGGGUAUUAUUAAUUUUUAGGCUAGACGUGGGACAGUUGAGUUGGUUCUAGGGGAAAGUACUGGGAGAAAACUCAGUUUACAUCGAAAAAGAAAGUGGGAGAAAAUUCAGAGACCUGCUAGGUGCACCUGAGGAGGGGAAUAUGUUGGGAAGAAGGAGAUUCAAAGCACGGCAGCCGAGUGAACUAGUUUUUUUAUGGACAAGUGAACUAGUUUACAUACAUAAGCAAAUAUCCACUAAAAAAGCAAUCAGGUUAAUGGGUUCUUAAAAGAAAUAUUUCGGACAAAACAGAUAAUUACGACAUAUAGGCUAAUGCAUGAAACACUCAGAUGAUAAAGAUGCUUAUAAACAGAUAAAGUACAACAUCUAGACCUUCCUGGCACGCUUGAUCAUGACGCUGCGGCUGUCCGUGUACUCGUCGGUUACGGGAAGCAGACACGCCCUCAUGUCCAAGAUCUGCCUGUACAUGUCGUAGCAUGCGUAUGCGUCCUUGGCCGCGUAGGUUAUGUAGCCUAGAUUCAGAGGUACCUCCCACGUGUUCAGGUCUUCUUCUUUCAUGUUGGCGUAUCAGGGGUCGAUGAUGGUCUCAGCAAGGUCAACCACGGAGUCCUUCUCCUGCCGGUUGCUGAUGAUCUUGUAUUGCUUCUGGAUGUUGACAAGCUUGUUGCACCAGAUGGCCGAAUCGUCGCGUUCUUCCUUCUCUCCACCGUAGCGAAGGUGCAGUCGGCGCUGCCGAUGAAACGGGCGAAUGCUCCAGAACCUGGUGCAGCCAUAGGACUGAGGCGAGGCAGAGCUUCACUGAGUCCAUAUCGUUGGUGUACAUCACAUUCAACUUGGUGCAGCCAUAGGACUGAACGGCAAACUCAAAGGGGAACUCCUUGUUGAAGUCCAUAUCCAGCAGGCUCACCCCUCGGAUCGCCAUUGGAGUCUCUUUGAGUGAAUGAGUGUGUAGGCGGUAGUAGUUCAUUUUUCAGCUCUUGGGGAACUGGAUUCAACAGUAAGCUGAGUGUGUACAUGCGACAACAAUUACUACCCCUCCCUCGUCCGCUGCACGCCCGGCAGAAGAUGCACCCUCGGCCACACGUCGGUUCACGAGCGGGUCGGUAUUGGUAUUGUAAUAACAGGAGUUAGUGGUCACUUUACUUAAAUUUAAUUAGCUUUAAUAGAAAUUUGUACUUAAAACAAGCAAUGCAUUCGCUCGUUCUAUCAGUGCCACAGGAUCAACAUGCACAACAAUUAGAAUUAUUAUUCUCAGGACGCACACGAUCAACACAUUUGUCGCACUUUCACAAAGAUAAUACUACCAAGUUUGAACUGUUUGUUAUGGUUGUUGUCCUCUGCAUCAUCAUGCCAUGUUUCCCAGCUGGCAAGAUUCAGAGCCAACAAAUAAGAUCCAAAUAAUAAGUACAACAAAGAUGCCUACACAUCUCAUUGAUUCCCAGCCCGCAAGAUUCAGAACCAACAAAUAAGAUCCAAAUAAUAAGUACAACAAAGAUGCCUACAAAUCUCAUUGAUUCCCAGCUUGCAAUAUUCAGAACCAACAAAUAAGAUUCAAAUAAUAAGUACAACAAAGAUGCCUACACAUCUCACUGAUUCCGAGCUUGCAAGAUUCAGAACCAACCCAUUAGAGCCUUUUGAUAAAGUGAAUAUCGGGAUUAAAUCCAUCUUGGCUAGCCAUGUCAUACAAUCGAAGAACUUGGCGAAUGCUCUUGACCGUCACAACAUCUGUAGUUGAGUAUUCCUAUUUGCACAACAUGUUUGCACAUCACAAACAAGGAGACAGGAGAGCAUGAUUUCGCUUUAAUAGUGGCCUCCUUGAACUCAACCUCCAGCUCUACUUGAAUGAGGUCUGCCUGGAGUUCCAUGAUUCAAUUCAUGCGCCUUUUUGUGCAGUUCACCUGAAAUGAAGCAAAGAUUGCAUCAUUCAGCUAGCAAGAAGUACUUGCUCUUGUGAGCUGGCAGGUUCUUCUUUAGUAGUUGCACUAAAAUUGAGGAACAUUAAGGUUGGCUGUCCGGCUCAUCUAAGGUGCAACUAUAAUUUUCUUAUCCUUUUGUGCAGUUCCACUAAAAUAAAGUGCCAUUGUGGUGACAGUGACGGCUCCAUCUUGCAAAGGCUAAUAAAAUGUUGCACGAGAUUACCAGCAGAACUUGACAGAGAUUUUGGAAACUCCAAUCACCAUUUUGUGCAGUUCCACCAAAAUUGAGAGAUGUUGCCCACGUGACAUUUUAGUUGAACUGCACAAGACACUCAUCCCAAAAAAAGUGUUUUGUGCAGUUCACCAAAAGGUCACAAUAGCAACAAGGUGAAAUGGAUAUCCCUAUCUGCACAAAAAGAUAGAAAGUAAACAGUUGCUGGUCAAUAAGAAUAUACGAAACAUAUACAGAAUGAAAAGAAGCAUCUUAAUUAUGUUCAUGGCAAUCACGCGAGGACAAUAGAAAUUUUAAAACGUCAGCAAUGCUUCAUGUUACCAGAAGCAUUGCGAUCAACAAUGAGAUUCCUCAAAUAUGGGAUUACUUUAAUGGUGGCAUUGCUUGUUUACCAGACACAGUAAAUCAACUGCAGCUAAAGAGUUGGUUUAAGGGCAUGGGACCCUGGGGACACCAGGACACUUAGCAGCGUAAAGGAGCAACUUACUUAUCAUACUGGGGAAAACAGCAGGAGUGCCAUUGUACUAUGUGAGGGUAGCAGAUCUAAUCCUGGAGACCUUUUACUAUGUGAGGGCAACAAAUCUAAUCCUGGAGACCUUUUACUAUGUGAGGGCAGCAAAUCUAAUCUUGGAGACCUUUUACUAUGUGAGGGCAGCAAAUCUAAUCCUGAGACCUUUUACUAUGUGAGGGCAGCAAAUCUAAUCCUGGAGACCUUUUACUAUGUGAUGGCAGCAAAUCUAAUCCUGGACAUACUCUGUUGACUUGUCCACCAGCCGCCACUUUAUAUCCUUUUUCAACCAAUAAUAGAUCUGUUCCUUAUCCAAUAUGUACUGCAUUUUCCCAUUAUUUCCCUUUUUAACCAAGAGACCGGUUGGGUAUCCGGUCUCUACUACUUUCACUAUAUUAUUUCCUCUUUGAAUCAAGUCCUAGAUUCAUGCUACAACUUUCCCCCUUUCUUCGUUGUUUGAACAAAGCCCUAGAUUCGAAUGCAUGAAGUAGCUUUACCUCUAAUAAUACUAAAAAUUUAGGUGGCUUUGGAAGAGCUGAUGGGAGUACAAAAAGAUGCACAUGCAGACACGUGGGGAGCUGGGGCAGUAGAGCAAGGCCGCUUUCGAAGAACAUAUACCUGAGGGUCGCCGGGAUGUCGGCGGCGGCAGGUCGGAUCUGCGGACAAUACGACAGGGAGGAAGAAGGGUCGGAGGACCUCCCGAGCCGGCCAUGUGUCAGAGAGAACGGCACGGGCAGAGGAUCGGGCCCCUCCGACAGCUGUGGGUUUCCUUCCUCGGCGGUGAUGACCGCAUGAACGAUGCACCUUUUAGUCCUCUACACACACCAGCUGAAGGGAUCCGGCCGGAUCUGUGACCAGCGGUGAGCAGAGAGAAAAUGUCGCUACCGCUAUCUUGUUUAUAUCUGGAGAGGAUGAGAGAAUGAAGAGAGCAACCCUAGUAAAGCAAGCGCUCAGGCCCCUGCGUCCAUAUAUAGUGGAGUGAUUAUCUUUUUUCUCUCCACAACAAGCAUUUCAAUUUGUGUACGUGGCAUUAAAGAAAAGAAACUCUCUAUUUAAGGUGACUACUGUACGACUCCUACUUACUACUAGUAGUACUACAAUAUUGUUCACUUGUGCUCCCCGCCCCUCCAUUCAUUGAACAACCCCACGGGUGAAUAAACAUACAGUAAGUACUGUAUUUAUAUAGAACGAACAAGCUCGAACUAUUUUCGCGUAGUUAAAAGUUGAGGGCGGGGCUUUUCCCGGGUAGUACGCGCAGCAGUUUUCGGGUAGGGCCAGAAGACUAUUUUAAUUUUUUUAAAAACUUUGAGACGGCCACAUAGCAUGGAGCCGACCCCAACGAUUUUAAGCUUACAGGCACGGUACACACUAUCCUAGACUACUAUACACAUGAAACUGCCACACGAGCGUCCGGGCUGCGCUUGGCUCUUCGCCUCUUUGGGAAGUCGAACAAUGAUGGAAUACUACUACACUAGAGGAGUACUACAGUACGCUUCUGGCCAUCUGACACCGAUUGAACUGCUGCAUGUCCACCGUGUGCGGGAGGGAGAGCGUGUAGCGAAAGCUUCUAGUCUUGCCAGCCACCACGCUCAUGGGCGAGGGAGGGACGCUCCUGCCUUUGCGUGUAUGACAGGUGGGCCCUACAGAUGUGUGGCCAACCUGUCAUACAGCCAAAGGCAGGUGCAGUUAAGUCCGUGAGGGAGAGGAUAAUCAAACUUCUCGUUGAUGUACGAGUUGACGCAACACAUCAGAGCACUGCACUCGAUAUAUUUCAAUAAUUUGCAUGUGUGACUCCCAGAUGUAGAGGCCGGGGGUCAUCAUCCUCCUUUUCGAGAAAAAAUAGACACGUGUGUGAGAGGACGAGUGCGUGCGUGCAUCUCUUCUCUUCCUGUAUAAUGUACUACUAAACUCAGAGUACAAUUUUUUGUGGGUGGCACGAUGGUGCGUGCGAGAAGUCCCGAGAGAUAGGUUUAAUGCAUUAAUUGCAAUGCAUGCAUGCAUAAAGUACAUGCAUUGGUCAAUUUUCUCUUAAUACUUGCAUCCAAUGAUUUAAUGCACCUUGGAAUCUGAACAUGUGUUGGGGAACAACCAAAUUGAGCCUUAUAAAAUGGAAAAACUAAAAUUUUGAGAUAAGCCCUAUAAAACCGGAAAGGAGGGAGUAGAAAAAGAAGUACUUUAUCCGGGAAUAGUGCCGCACUUCGAAACUAGAACCGUCAAUAAAUUUUGAGCUUGCGUCUCGUCACAUUCCAAAUUACUCCAUGCUAUAUUGAAUUGCAAACCUGUUCACACCGAUCACAACCUAAACGGUUUCCCACUUAGGAGCAUAUUAGUACUUGGUUAUAAAUACUAGUAUGCCAAGAUGACUGCACAUUCCUCCUCAACUCCUCAUCCACAAAAACCAACAAGUCAUUCAACAUCCUUCCCUUGUGUCUGCCAUGGCCAGCGUGAGUUCUGGGUCGAGAUAUUACCACCAGGGAGAGGCGAGCACGGAAGCGGAAGCACGAGAGAUGUCCCGCCUCGCUGCGAGAGGAGCCGACAUGUCCCGCCGCACGGAAGUAGCAGCACAGAGGUCCCGCCGCGCCGCUGAAGCAGCACAGAGGUCCCGCCGCGCCGUCGAUGCAACAGACUGGUCCGACCGCUCCGCGAAAGCAGCAAAGAUGUCCCACCGCGCCACGAAUGUAGCAGAGAUGUCCUGCCGCGCCGCGGCGGCCUAGGAAAAUUUCUCGCGGGCAGGCGAUGACUGUUAUAGGCGCAUGCAUGUGAUCGUUCAUAGCCAGAUGGAUUAGAUCUCUGGCUCGGUGAGGUUGCAGGACGACAUGAUAGCCUCGUUUGAACAGGCUACCAGCGUCAUCCGGCAACUAAGGGAGGGCAACGAGAGGCUCUAGGCCGAGCGCGACUUGCUGAGGGAGAAGAUCGUCCGAAGUGCAGACCUGCAGGAGGAUACUAGUGCCUUGUUGAAGAAACUUAUGGACGAGAAUGACAUUCCCCACAACGAGCGCCAAAGGCUGGUGGAGGAAUCUGUGGAUGUUCUCAAGCAGCGUCUUGAGGACACGAAAGAGCUCAUUGCCGCUCACCGUGGAGACUAGUUUCCUGGUUUCUUUUGAUGUAAUAAUCGGUUUAGGAUGUGGAUUGUGUCGUCGGUUGUGAAAUGUUGGGUUCUAGCGCGGAUGUUUGGCCUUUGUUGGCCUCUUGGGAUGUUGCGAUUUCAAUCUGGUAGCUUUUAGUCCUUCGUGUUAGGCUGGAGCUGUGCUGAACUUCUUGUGAAUUGUGGUGGUUUUCAGUAAUGAAAAUCGGAAGGGGCAAUCCCUUCUUUGAUCAAAAAAAAUUUAAUCGUCCUUAUAUAUUCAUCAGUCUUGCUAUAAGUCGCAGUAGAUGCUAUAUAGGUUCGUCGGAUCUUACAUCAAGAUCCGUGCUUUCAGAUUUUCCUUUUUCUCUCUUAAAUCUCAGUCGAGUGAGACAUAGCCACGCCAUUAAACAGAGGCUCGGGCGCCAUUAAUGGAUACCUUGGGAGAGAGGUGGACGGCAGAUGGAGGUCAAAGGGCUCUCCUCCCGAUAAGCACGCGCAGAGGUCUGAUCGCACGCCUCUCGUACUCAAAUAGCUACCUUGCACGGUGCCUCCUAGCUAGUAAAAAAUGGGGACGCGUGGCGACACGUAAAUGGUACUAGUAAGUAGAACACCCACGGUUUCAAUAAUACUUGUGUUUCCAAUUGUAAUGUGACACCACUUGUUCCAAAAUGACUUUGUUGAUUGUUAAUGUAUGCGCCUUCACAAAUCAGACUGCAAAUUUACCACAGCAUGUUGGUGCCAUGUCAUGGCACCAAGCCAAGUUUCAUUAUUUUCAUGCGUGUUUUGGAUUUACAGGAAUUAAAAAACUAAGUUCCUCAAUGUUUCCAACCCAGCCACGACGUCCAGAAUUUUGAAUUUCAUUCCCAUUUCUUGCAUGGAACCUAGAAAUUUACCCAAGGACACACAUGUGAUUUUUCAACCAACUUUGGUGCACUAGAACAUGUGCUUGUAUUUCAAAUUUGAAUUAUGCACACAAAGGUGACACGUUCCCUCCCAGAACCACGAGCCUUCUUGAGAGAAGCUCCGAUUUGCAAGAAGCUUAUACCAAAAUUUGUUCCUAUUCGACCAAUUUUUUUACCACGGCAUGGUACUACCAUGACAUGACACCAUGCCAAGUUUCAUGAUUUUAAAACCAAGUUUCUCAAUGUUCUCGACCGAGCCACGAUGCCCAGAUGUUUGAAUUUUAUUCUCAUUUUUUGCAUGGGACCUACUCCCUCCUUCCAUCUAUAUAGGGCCUAAUGUGUUUUUCAAGACAGCCUUUGACUAUUGACAAGAUUAAUAGCACAUGAGAUGUAUACUAUGAAAAUUAUAUUAUUGGAAGCUCCUUUAACAUACAAAAUUGAAGGUAUGCUUUGUGUAAGUUGCAUGUCAUAUAUUAUUGCUCUAACGUUUGGUCAAAGUUAGCCUCGAAAAAUGCAUUAGGACCUAUAUAGAUGGAAGGAGGGAGUAGAAAUUCACCCGAGGACACAAAUGUGAUUUUUCAACCAACUUUGGUUGACGGGAGCAUGUGCUUGUAGUUCAAAUUUGAAGUAUGCACAUUAAAUGACCAAAAAAUUCAAUUAAUGUGUAAAUAAGGCCAAACGAAGCCGGAAUAAUUCCAAAAUUUAACAGGGCACUCAUGUAGUUCUAUGUUGCCUUUGUAAAUAAACUCAAGGGGGACAAUGUAUAUCGUUUCGCACUCAAAGGUGGCACGUUCCCUCUCAAAACCACGAGCCUUCUUGAGAGAAGCUUCGGUUUGCAAAACCUUAUACCAAAAUCUGUUCCUAUUCGGCCAAUUUUUUUACCACAACAUGGUAGUACCAUGACAUGAAAUCCAUGCCAAGUUUCAUGAUUUUCAGACGUGUUUUGGAUUUACAAGAAUUUUAAAACCAAGUUUCUCAAUGUUCUCGGCCGAGCCACGAUGCCCAGAUUUUUUAAUUUUAUUCUCAUUUCUUGCAUGGGACCUAGAAAUUCACCCGAGGACACAAAUGUGAUUUUUCAACCAACUUUGGUGCAAGAGAGCAUGUGCUUGUAGUUCAAAUUUGACUUAUGCACAUUAAAUGACCAGAAACUCAAUUAAUGUAUAAAAAAGACAAACGAACCCGGAAUAAUUCCAAAAUUUAACAGGGCACUAAUGUAGUUCUAUGUUUCCUUUGUUAAGAAACUCAAGGGGGGGGGCAGCAUAUAUCUUUUCACACUCAAAGGUGGCACGUUCCCUCUUAGAACCACGAGCUUCCAAAUCGGCCCAAUUUUUUUUACCACAACAUGUUAGUGCCAUGACAUGACACCAUGCCAAGUUUCAUGAUUUCCAGGCGAGUUUUGGAUUUACAUGAAUUUAAAAUCAAAGUUUCUCGAUGUUCUUAGCCGAGUCAUGACGCCCAGAUGUUUGAAUUUCAUUCUCAUUUCUUCCAUGGGACCUAGAAAUUCAACCAAGGACACACAUGUGAUUUUUCAACCCACUUCGGUGCACCGGAGCAUGUGCAUGCAAUUCAUAUUUAGAUUAUGCACAUUAAAAGUCCAGAAACUCAAUUAAUGUAUAAAAAGGCCAAAUGAACCCGAAAUAAUUCCAAAAUUUAACAGGGCACUCAUAUAGUUCUAUGUUGCCUCUGUAAAUAAAAUCAGGGGGGGAGGCAACUUAUAUCGUUUCGCACACAAAGGUGACACGUUCCCUCUCGGAAUCACGAAGCUUGUUGAGAGAAUCUCCGGUUUUGCAAGAGGCUUAUACCAAAACUUGUCCCAAUUCAGCCAAAAAUUAUACAUAUGAAAACAGGGUUUAGAUUAUCCCAAACAUCUCGCUACCUAGACCAAUAAUGUACUAUGAUUUGAAUUCAACAUAAAAUGGAUACAAAUAUUUGAAUUGGAGAGCGUAUGGUACAUGUAGUUCAUAGUGAAAUGUGAUUACUGUUAUAUGUAUGUUUUUUGUUAUCAAGAUAAUAUUUAAAUUAUUGUAUAACUUGACAACAAUCAUAUUCAAAUAAGGAAAAUUGAUUCAAAUUUAGUCCAUAUGGUAGACGACAAUAUAUAUGUUCACAUGGUGGAGUGAAAUGUUCAUAUAUGAUGGAAGAUCAAAAUGUACGACUACAUCAAUUAUAAACUACAAGGUCACCUAACGAUAUAUUCGAAUUCAACAUAACGUGGAUUGAAAAAUUGAAAUUCGAGAUCAUGGCAUCUGUAAUCAUAUAAAAAGGGACAUUACUCUUUCUUUGGUGGGAAUUGAUUUGUUUUUUGUUGUUGUUGAGGGAAGUGCGAAUCGAUUUGGUACUGUGCAGGGUAAUCUUGUUCUCCCGAUUUUUUUACAUUUUUAUUGUAGUUUUUUCAGUGGCAUCUAUAGCAAUAUAGUAAAAGGGGACAUGACUCUCUUGUGUCUUGUAUGAAUAGUUUUUUACACGUUAAGUUUGUUCUGCCGAACAAGGAAUCCGCACCUUGUUAUCCCGAAAUUUUCAAGCUCGAGUAUCUUUUGUCUCACCUGCUUUGAAACUCCCGCUUCUUCAACCCGCGCCGCGCCUUGUUAUCCCGAAAUUUGGACGCGCGCGAGAACUCCUUCCUCAUCCAAAAUCGCUCCCGCAGCCCAGACACGCGAAAUCCCCCUUCUACCCCUCAGCAGGAAAUGAAGCUCCACGUCGCGGUGUCAAAAUCGGUGGGGGUACGCUGGUAACUUACCCUACAUUUCGGACAAGCGCAUCCCAAAGCUUGGCUCCCCCCUUCGCCCCCCAUUCGUACACCGAGGCCGCCAAAACCCGCGAAACCCCACGCUCCUCUGUCGGCCUCCCGACCGCCGCCCAGCCGGAGACUCUUCCCUGACUACGCCGUCCACCGUAACAGCUCACCGUCCCUCAUCCACCGCACCGGAUGAGGAUCGAUUGUCAAUCUCGUCGUCCCGCUGGAUCAGCCGCCCCGUCCUCCACCUCCAAGGAGCUGCCCCGACGUUCACCUCGUCUAUCGCGCCACCUCAAUCCCCACAGCGCCGUCUUGACCUGCCCCACCGGAACCGCAGCACCCUCACCAAUUCCUUCGAUGAAGCCGAGGCCAACUUGGCGCCACCAAGGAGGUUCUGCACUCACUGCUGCAUUUUAUCUUUUAUUCGAUCUCACGGGGCUGUCGGUGCUCGAUACCGAGCAGACAUGGCGUGUCUCCAUCGACGACGCCGUCGUCGGCCACAUCAUCCACGGCGUCUCUCCCCCAUGUCGUUGCUUCCUCGGCGGUGACUUCCAAAACGGCACUAGCUGCAGCUGCUCCGACUCUCGCUCACGCUGCGGCUAUGUUCUUGCUGUCAGUCGCGCUGCUGCACUGCUCCUGCUUUCGUUCAUGCUGCUGCUCUGCUCUUUCUCUCACUUGCGCUGCUGUUGCUGCUGCAUGACCUCCGGCAGCUACAGGAGUUGCUGCUUUAGCACUCGCUCGCGAUGCUACUGCACGACUUGCUCUCUGCUAGUGCGUUCCCUGCUCGAGCAUCUGCUGAUUUAGAUCACUGCUUCUCUGCUACUAGUGCUCGAAUGCCCUAAACAUCUAUUGCAAUGCUUUGUUACUAGUUCAAUCAGUUUCGACAGUAAAAUUCAGUUUCGACUGUGAAGUUCAUUUUCUUCAGUUAAGUUUAGAGUGAACAGUACUUACAACAUCUGUCAGAGCGGCCGUGGCGCAGCUGGUGCGUUUUACAUCUAACACUUUUUGGUGAUGUAUUUUACAUCAUCUAUUGCAGAUGAUAUUAGGGUCCCACUUCAGAUUAACGUGGUUUGUCUUGUCAUGCUUUAGCCUCAUCGCCGUACACCUUAGCGGAGCUGCUCCAAUGACGGAACCGUCCAUCACAGUGGAGCAGUACCCUCGGCGCCGUUUCCAGAGGCCUCAGAUCUUCUUCCCCAUCUCCGACAGUCACACCAGCAUCAUCACCAUCCUCAACGUCCAACCCAAUGAUGCUGAGGUCCACAAGGCUAUGCCAAAGAGGUUGUACACUCGUCGCAUCACUUUGUUUCUCCAUUCCUCUGUUCUUCCAAUUCAUGUGAGCCAAACACCCAGGUUGGCUGAAAUCCUAUGUUUCCAAAUGCUCUGUUUUGCACGUGCAUUCCUAUCCUAUUCCUGUGUUUUUCCUGUCCCUGCGUUUAUAGAAUCCUCCAAUUCUAAGGAGCCCUUACAGAUUUACUUCAUUUUCAGAUAGGCGUCAAAGAAAAAUCUAUGUGUUAUGUCCUGCUCCUGCCGUGCCAUCAUCCACCCCACCCGAGGUGCACCAUCGACAGAAGCGUUCACUACAGCAGAGAUCCCCCCUGCAGACUUCCUUUCGCCGCCUCAGAUCAUCUUCCCCGUCGCCGGUAGCCACGCCAACUGCAUUACCAUCAUCGACUGAGCAGAUGAACUGAGGACUUCAUAGUUUCGGAAGAGAGGUCGUAGUCUUUCGUGUUUUCUUACGUUAUACAUCGGUUAUUAUUACCUGCUACUUUAUCGUUCAAUCUUGAGUUUUGAAUUGCCCAUGGGUCUCAUAUCGAGCCAACAACGAAUAGUAUCUGUCUACUAUCUGGUUCAUCUGGAGUCUUCUAUGUGGUUCAUGUUGGGUGGACAACAAACAAUAGAUGAUCCAUUGUCUAUCUUUUUAAACUGAAGCUAUAAUCUACCUGCUAUCAUUAGUUUUGGAUCCAUCCACUCGUUUGCUACCAUCAGUCUUGAUUUUUGCAUGCACCCCUUAGGCCUUAGAAAAUCUAACUAUUUUUAUUAUGCAUGUCAGAUAUUGUACACAAUCGUACUGAAAAUGUAGAGAAAAAGAGAAGACCGUUCCGUGCGAAUAUAAUGUCAUGUAGACGCCGCUCCAUAGUGGGCGAAGUGGCCCCCCUCCUGCAUUUCCAGAUUGUAUUCCAGAGGAAGAUAACUGUUCAGAUGGAGAUUCAGAAGGAGCCGACCACGCCUUUUUACACUACUAGGAAAACAGUUUUUAACGAUGGUUUAUGUGGUCGUUAAAGGUUGGAUUGUGGUCGUUAAAGGUCAUUAACGACCACAAUCUGCUAGUCGUAGUAGGCUCCAUCGCUAAAAGUAUAAAGACCACAUACCUUUUGUGGUCGUUAUUCUUGUAACGACAAGAUGGUGUGCGGUCGUCAAUCCCGUGGAAAUAACGACCACAAUUGUCGUCGCUAAUAAUGUUAUCAUGCUAACCAAAGUAUCAUUAGCGACCACUCUCUUCCACACAUUGAUAUCCUUCAGAACCACUUAUAUUCAGUAUAAUUUUGCGUUUAACGAUCACUUUAUGCAGCAUACAACAUUUCAAUAUUAACAUCCAAUUAAUAUAAAAACAAUAGAAUAUGGUUUGAAAGGAUCAUAACCUCUUUUAUUAAUAAAAAUACCAAUAUUCUGACAUACAUUAAAAUAUCCUUUAAGAAACUUCAAGUUGGCUUCUAUGAGAACUAUCACUUAUUGAUAUACUAGACAAUACACUUAUUUUCUAACACCUCUUGCACCAUGCCAUUGAACUUUCCUUCGAGCACUUGCCUCGCUUGCUUGUAGUUUAGAAACCAAUCCCGUUACUUAAUGCUAGUCCUCGCAAUGUCUCUAAUUCCCCACAUACAUAUCUGGAGAUAAAAUAGCAUUGCGAAAUUACUAAACAAAAACACUCUCCAGAAAAACCAAUAUAAAUGUUCAUUUGUACCAAAAAAAUCAAGUAACAACUAGUAAAUAUUUUCUCUUCACUCAUGAGACACCAUCACAAGUCCUUAAAAUCUUUCACCAAUGACUACAAUGCCUCGUGGUGUUACUUUUAAGGUGGACCAUCCGUUCUACAAAAAAACAUUAAUGGCUUAUAUGUUAGUAUGUAUAAAAGAACUAGCAAAGAGGAUAAUAUCAUAAAGGAACAAGUUUGCACUUGAAUUCUUCAAUAGUCCUUAUCCUUAUGCGACAAAGGCAAACUAUUUUAAGCAAAUAUUAAUUGGAAUGUUUCUUUUCUAAUUCAAGAAAAACUUGAGUUAUUUUAUUUCUCAGGAAAAAAAUGAACUUUUUUUGGUUGUUGUUAUAUACCCAACUAAUUUUUUAACAAAUAAACCCAACAAAUUAACACCAAAUAUUCUGUCCAUCUGCUUAAAAAAACUACCAUUCUUCCCGUCAAAAAAACCUACCAUUCUUCUCAGGAGUGAGUAAUAUACGUACCUCAAAACGGCCUCCUAGCUUUUCUUUGUCACCCUGGAGAACAACUUCGAAGUGGUGAGGAUAUGAAAAACACAACACGCAAGGCGACAUCAAUUUUUGAGAAGUUUAAGCUUACAAGAAAAACUUACAAUUACCUCGCCCUGGAGCAUGGGAACUGCACAAUGGACCAUGUACUGAGUGUCUACAAUGGCAAUCUGCUCUUCAGGAUUCUAACAAAUUAAAUCAAAAAAGAGAAGAAAAAAUUAUACAUCAGGUAUACAUGAUUAUAUAUUGCACAUGAUAUCUUUUUACGCGUUGUUGCUUAGUAAUUAGGCUAUGCUUACAUUGACACAUCUCCAGAUGUAGGAGUCAAUAGACCAUCGAUUGACGAGGUCAUUCUGAAAAUCAAACUCGUUAACUCUUCUUUUCAGUUCACACAAGCCAAAAUUAUCAAUCAUGUACGUACAAGUUAAAAAUAAUCAGCAGCCAAACAUAUUGUCCUCACUUUCAGAUCAGGCAUGUCAAAAAACGUCUUUGUUCUGAAAAGUGUAUGCACCUACCUAGAUCAGUGCCACACGAUCUCCAAGCAUCCCUUCACAAGACUGGCGCCAUCACCUCCACAAACCUGCAUCCAGGUUUACAUCUUCACUUUCAAAUUGAAAAAUCUCAAACAAAAAUGGUCAAGUGAAGAAUUUAGUUAGUUAAUUACCUGCUACACGGUAGCCUUUGCACGUCCCAGCAAUGCUCGUCCCCAAUACUUGUCCUGUUCAUGGCAUGACAGAGACUACAACUCGAAUUCAACCUUUGUUUUCGCAUUGAGCAGCAGCUGCACCCUUUCUCCGUCCUAGAUGAGUCCUGCAUCAUAUCCGCCUCUGCCUUCCCCUCGCAUCUAAAGACCUGAAUAAGAACUGCUAGGAAACCAUUAGCGAUCCACUCCAAAUAUCACCAGCCCGCUACGAGAUAUACGGCCGAUGCGGUAGCAACAGUGACCUCAUCACCGAGCUAGAUCCGACCAACACGUAGGAGAAUUGACCUCGUCACUGAACUACUAGAUCUGAUGGAUGCAGAACUAACCUCGGCGUUGAUCCUCUGGACUCUGUUGCGCUGCUCGUCAAGCACCCGACCAGGGGAUCUGGUCCACUCGGACGACCUCGGCAGCAGCGUUGAUCCUCUGUUCCACUCGGAUGACCUAGGUAGCGAGCGCAUCUGGGUCGGCGUCCUGUAACGAGGAGGCGAGGGGACUACGUGGGCAUGUGGCGUUCAUGGCGGUGGUGGCUGCGGCGGCGAGCGGCGAGCGGCUCAAUCUGAGAGGGGAUGCACCAUCGUCGUUUACCUGGAUGCGAGAUUGUAGGGAUAGCUAGAAGUUAUUUUUAUUUAUCUUCCUUUUAUCUCCCUCAUUUCAUCAGAUAAGGACGCUAAUUACUCUAAAAUAAAAGUAUCAAAUAUAUGGAGUAUUAAGCAACAGCGACCACCAAACUAACGACGGGCAUAUCCAUCGCUGUUGGGGAAGUUUCAUGGGUUUAGUUUAAACGUGGGAUUACCUCAUCAUAACAAUAACAACCAAGAUAUGUUAGCUGUUGGUCGUUAUUGGCUUAAUUUCUAGUAGUGUUACCACCUGAGGUGUUUGCUCUAACCUGGCAUGCUGAUGUUGGUCAUAUCAUGCAUAUGACGCCUUGCAUUGCUUACAUUAUACAUCUUAUAUGUCAUCAGCUUAGUUUAGAUUUGCUUUGUGUGAAUGCCACCUGUUUGGUUUCUAUAUCAUACUCCCACCAUUCCUAAAUAUUUGUCUUUUUAGAGAUUUCAACAAGUGACUACAUACGGAACAAAGUGAGUGAAUCUACACUCUAAAAUGUGUCUAUAUACAUCCGUAUGUGGUAGUCCAUUUUAAAUAUAUAAAAAGACAAAUAUUUAGGAACGGAGGGAGUAUAUGGGAAUUAUGCAAUGCCAUCUUCUUUAGCCAGGCAUCAUAUACGUGAAUCAUGCAAUGCCAUCAUGUUUAGCCAGUCAUCAUAUAUGUGAAUUGUAUCGUGCCAUAUUUUUUCCAUAAUGUAUUCCAUUUGUCAACAAUGUUUAUACAUUCAUCUACUCUUCCCGUGCAUCAGCCAUUUGAGUCGGUCAUGGGAAAAUCUGGAGUGAAAACAAGGUCUUCUGAGCAGUCAAUGCUACCUAUCGAUGCAGAUUUCUUGCUAGUUACAGAUAGCUCCCCAGAGGAGGAUUCAGAGAGAGAUGACCAAUCGUAUUCCCCCCCGAGGUGCAUGCUCUAACUUGGCUGGGUUAUAUUGCUCAUAUCAUGCAUAUGGUAUCUUGCAUUGCCAUGCCAUCUUCUUAGAUUAGACAUGCUUUGUGUGAAUGCCUCCUGUUUGCUUUCUAUAUCAGAUAUGUGAAUUAUGCAAUGCCAUGUUUUUCAGCCAGUUAUCAUAUAUGUGAAUUAUGCACCGCCAUGGAGCCAGUCAUCAUAUAUGUGAAUUAUCUCAUGCCAUCUUUUUUUUCAUUACGUAUUCCAUUUGUCGACAAUCUGUGUAUAUUGAACUACUCUUCAUGUGUAUCAGCCAUUUGAGCCUGUUAUGGAAAAAUCUGGAGUGAAAACAAGGUCUUCAGAGCAGGCAAUGGUACCUGUUGAAGCAUAUAUCUCAAUGGUUACAGGGAGCUCCUUAGAGGAGGAUUCAGAGACAGAUGACCAGUCCUAUAUCCCACCUGAGGUGUAUGCUCUAAGUUGAAGUGCUUACAUUUCUCAUAUGAUGCAUAUGGUGUCUUGCAUUGCUUAGUUUAGACAUUAUAUGCACAAUAUUGAAUUCUAUCUGCUUAGUUUAGAGAUCAUACAUGCGAGUGCCAGCUGCUUAGUAUAUGUAUCAAUUAUAUCAUGCCAUCCUGUAUACUUAGACAACAUGUAUGUGAAUUAUUUCAUCCCAACCUAUUUUAGAAAGACAUCAUAUAGUUUUGUCAUGUCAUCCUGUUUAGGUACUCAUCAUAUGUUGAAUUAUGCCAUUAUAUCCUGUUAAGUUAUCCAUCAUAUAUCUGAAACUGUGUCAUGCUAUCCUGUUUAGUUAGGCAUCAUAUAUGUGAAAUUGUGUCAUGCUGUCCUGUUUGGUUAGACAACAUAUAUGUGAAUUACCACAUCUGUCUAUCAUACAAUGUCUGUACGUUCAAUUUCUUUUCUUGUUUAUCAGCCAUUUGAAUUGGAGGGGGUGAUGGCAGUAUCUAAGGGAGCAAAAACCCGUUCUUCACAAAAGACAGUGCUACCCAUCGAUGCAGAUAGAACCAUGGUUGUACUGGCCCACAAACUAGCCCCACCACACAUAAUCGAGACUCUUCCAGAUUGCACACUUACACCGUUGGGCAGAGAACCAGUUACAACCCAUCUAACCGCAACCCCAACGGAUAGUAACCCACUUAUAGUUGACAAAGCACCAUGUCCACCAUAGAGUACCCCCACACGAGCAGUUUGUAAAGCUACUGCAGUGCCCAAAGCACGAAGACCACCACAGCUAACCCAAACUCCAUGUUUAAAGCAGAAGAGCAACUAUUCUCAAGUCAGAUUUCGUAGCUAUGGUCCAUACUCCUUUGCUAUUGCAUCACUGUAUUUACUCAUACCAACUACUUUUGAAUUUGAAGGAUCCAAUUGAAACUCCAAUGGCGCAACAGGUAUGUUUUAAACCUAUUUCUUUAACUAGAUUGCUGUUCUAACUUCUUGCUCUAUGUUGAUUUCAGUUUAAGUUGUAUAAACAGUUAUGUUCUCAUGUGAUGCACAUUACAAGUGCUACCAAUGCUGUGUAGUUUCUCACACUUAUAUUCUAUCUAUGCUGCUGUGUCUUAAAAAUAUAUGAGUUGAACUGUGUCUCUAUCUUGAUUAGGGAACAUAAACUAGAAUGAUAUGGACAAUACAGUGACCAUAGUACAUAGAUAUAUGUUUGUUUCAUGUUGUUAUCCUGUCCACCUUACUACUGAACCAGUUUACCAAAAUGAGUUUCGUAUACUACAAGCUAAACCUGUGAUGUGUCUGCUUGUUUCUCUUGUAGUAUGCAAAUAGAAUAUUGGAGAAGAGCACCCCACUAUGCAAUGGUAGAGAAAGUAAUGCAGAUAAGGUUCAAGAUAGUGAGACAACCCUGUUGGUCUCCAAGAAAGGUGAUAAAAACGAUCUUGUAGACAGUGAGAAAACCCCACAGUCCUGCGUUGAUGUAGUGUUUGAGUUACUGGCCAGUACCGCUGGCACAAGCUCUUCGAACUCGCUGCCUGAAUCACUUCGGCUUCUUCAGUCUCAGCUACAAGCUGAAAGGCAUCAGUCAGCUGUGCUGCGGCAAGAAGCCGAAGGACUGAGGAAGUCCCUGCAGAAUUCAGAUGCGUACUUUCUUGUGCAACAGCAAGCGCUGGAGGAUUUAAGCACCAACCAAGAGAAAGUUAAUAAGCUUGCUAAGCAUCUUGCCAGCAUUAUGGGUACCCAGGAUAUUGUUUCUUGAACUCUUCUGAAGUGAUUUCAGUUCUGGACUUGUUUUGCUGCGGCGUUUAUAUGCUGCUUUGUUCCCUAUAUCUACACUGGUGGCGAACUUUGAUGCCCAGUGGAUGUAAUAUCUGUAAUAGCUGUGAUAGCCUAGCAUAAGUUGCUUGCUUAUUUAUUUCCUUGUUGUUUUGUUUAUUUGUUUGCUUGUAGUCAGUGCAGUUCUUUUUCCGCGGUUUGCUAGUGGCUGCAAUAACCUAUUUUUUAAAACUAGGCCACAAUAACCAUGGGCUAAUAUUUACUGUAGUGACACUGGGCCUCCUACGGGCCGUAGAAACAGUGGGCCUUCCACGGGCCGUAGAAAUAGUAGGCCUUCUACGGGCCAUAGAAACAAUGGGCUUUCUACGGGCCGUAGAAACAAUGGGCUUUCUACGGGUCGUAUCAUCAAUGGGCCUUAUACGGGUCGUAUGAUCGAUUGGCCAAACAUGGGCCAAUAACAGGCCGCAUUAUGGCCGUAAACGGGCUAGAGUUGGAAUCAUCCGUUCAUGGGCCGACCAUAACGGGCCAUCGUUAAUAGGCCGUAUUUGAUGAUAGUAUGAAAAUGUCCCAACGUAUUAAUGGACCAUAAACGGGCCGACUGUAACCACGUCCUGAAUUUGGCCCACAAGCAGAAAAUGACAGUAACAGGCCGUAAGUAAAUGAAUGCUGGAAAUGAGCCCAAGAAUAAAUGGGCUCUAAGAAGGCCGAAAGAUAACAUGGGCUGGAAACGGCCCAACGAAAUAACGGGCCGUUAAUGGGUAUAAAGUGAUACACUGUUCAUUAUGGGCCAGUUUCACCACGGGCCGUUAAUGGGUGUAAAGUGAUACACUAUUCAUUACGGGCCAGUUGCACCACGGGCCGUUAAUAGGCCAAGAGUUACAUAGGGCCUCAUAUGGGCCGAAAGACGUCAUGGGCCAGAAGUGAAAAUGGGCUAGAAUCAUAUUGGAUGGCCCAGAUGACGCUACUGGGCCUAAUUCGGAUAGGGCGUAACGGUCCUUGGGUUAGCGGGCUGUAAAUGGGCUAUAUGCGAACAAGCCAUUAAUAGGUUUUCCAUGGGCCGGCCCGCCACCUUUUGACCAAGUCAAACGGGCUGGCCUUUUCACAUGAAUGGGCCUCUGUUGGGCCGUGCCACAUGUCGACGUAUCAUAGGCGCCUUCUGUCCAAUGAGUGGAUGACAUUUGUCCCAACGAUGAGCCGACAUGUGUUUCCUCCAGCCAAUGAUGAUUUUACACGUGGAAAAUCCCCAUUGGUCGGGGCUGUUAACGGGUUAUCGGAUCCAAAACCCGACCCGAUAGCUUAAUGGCAUUCCGUUACGGUGGGUGCCACAUGUCGGUCACCCUUGACGAAAGCACUUCUGUGACGCGCGAUUUAUCGUCAUGGAAGUGCACACUUCCGUGAUGAUAAUUUUGGUAAUGUCAUGGAACACUUCUACAACAACACAUGUAUGACUAUCUUGAUUCUGUCAUAAAAUCGUCAUGGAUGUACAUGCAUGACAAAAAACGCAACCUACUGUGACAAACACGUAUCAUCACGGAAGUGUAUUUUUUUUGUAGUGCUAUUACCCUACCCUAGGUACAUGUCAUUGUCAUUAUCCCCCGAAUGGAUCGAGGUCUGAGGGGAGAAGAGGUUGGAGAUGGUUCCGACCCAAUUUUUAUGCUUCAGAGGCAUCUCACUUGGGUUGGCGAACCACGUUGGAACUUCAACUUUAUUUUUAGUCGCCUUGAUCCAUUCAGAAUUUGUCGAGUGAAUUCAUUCUGGAAUGCUUCGAGUGUUGGAGUAGAACAAAAUCGUUGGCGUGACUGAUUGCGCUACCAUUACCGGAUCUCACGGGAUUCAAAAUUUUGGGAAGCGCGUGGGACGGAGAGCGCCGCAGUAAUCGGGACGGAUUAGGCAGGGGCGCCUCGAUCUCCAUGCCGCCUUUUUUGUCACAUACCGAGUGCGUGCCUGUUGCGGGAUUGGACAAGAUUUCUCGGGCCCGCAUGUAAGUCACUCGGAAAGGGGCAAAUAAAAGGCUCCGCGGCUUGUGCGUCUGCACAACACAUCCCAUUCUCCUUCUCAUUCCUCUGUUUCUUCACCUCGUCCUUCGCCGCUCUUGACACCUCCGCACCACCCGUGAGCAGUCCGCGACGAUGGGGAAGGAAAAGACUAUGGAUCUAGAGCGCGCCAAGAAGACGACAUCGAUGGGGAAGUCGAAGGGAAAGAAGAUGAGUCGGGGGGGAUCUUCCUCGAGGUCCGGCCCACCACCCAGCUGGAUCUAGGGCGACUGGAUUCGCUCCACGAUUCAGCUGUAGGAUGUGGAGGAUUUGUCUGCAGGGGACUUGAUCGCCCAUGAAUCUUGGAGGCUUCCUGGCAACAAGACCGAGCCGCAGCUACAGGAGGGUGAGUGCGUCCUCCUUGUGACUCACGUUGACCGUGGUUUCUCUCUGCGUCCCCAUCCUUUCUUCCGGGGUUUUCUGAAAUUCUUUGGAGCCCAACUUCAUCACUUUACCCCCAACACCAUCACGUACCCCGCUGCGUUCAUUUCCAUGUGUGAAAAUUUCUUGGGUUGUCGACCGCAUUGGGUUCUCUUCAAACACAUCUUCACUUGUCGCUCUCACUCUGUGAAAAAAGCUAAUCCGAAUGACGAGAAGACUCAUGUGGUCCAUAUGUGUGGAGGUCUAGGUAUUCAGAUGAGAAGCAAAAGUGCUUUUCCAGCUAUGAUCCUUCCCGAGUCAGUUAGAGGGUGGCAGUCGACCUGGUUCUACUGCAAGGACCAACCGACUCCUGGUUAGUCGACCGGUCUCCCUUCCUUCUCCAUGGAGCGAGUCCAACAACCCACUUCUUUGAAAGUAACUCCAGCAGAGAGAGCAGAGUUGAACAUGCUGAUGGAGCGAGUAGUCCAAUUAGUUAGAGAUGGCGUGACUGGUAUGGACUUGCUGGAAGUGUUUCUCAGUCGACCCGUCCACCCACUCCAGGCCCACGAUCAUCCUCUAUGGAUGUACUUGGGCAUUGAGGACACCACUCAGAUCCACCCGAAGGAGGUCACCGAAGAGACGGUGGAGCUGUGGUUGCAGGGCAUCACUGGAAACAAAGAUAACCCCCGGGGGUCCAGAAGAGUCCAACCAUUCUGCGCUGGCCAUGAACCUGAAAAGGUCUAUCCUUUACUGUCAAGUGUUUCUUCAUUCUGAUUUGCAACUGUCUUCGUGCCCGACUGAUGUCUAUGUUAUUCUUUGUCUUGCAGAUUUACACUGAUACAUACUCAAUGCCCAAUGGAGAGCAGGACCAAGAGGGAGAGGUGAGUGGGGGCGAAAGUGGCAAUUGGAAAUCCCGUGACGAGGACGGGGAGGAGAGUGAGGACUCAAGCGACGGCGAGGAGGUCGACUCUCCACCUUGCACUAAAAGGCAUUCCAAGUAGACCCAUUACCCCGUGAGCAUCUGCGGCAAGGCAGUCAUGCAGACCUCGAAGCGCACUCGAACUUCCUCCCCCGUUCCAACUAAGAAGGCGCCGAAGCAACCCAAGAUUGCAGCUCCUAAGCCUCGGAAGACCCCGCCCAAGAUCAAGAUUGAUGUUCCUAUCGCCUCCGGGUAAGUGUUUUGUUUUGUCCUUUUAAUCAAGAACUUCCUAAGUAGCCGUCGACUCACUUUCUUGCUUGACCGAGUGAGUUUGGGAACUUGCAAUGCUGCUACUUCUGGGACUUCUGUGGAUAUUUACAGGAAUGAGGAUGAUGCGGAAAUGGAAGAUGCGGCCACCUCCAAAGAAGGUGUGACUCUGCCAUCUUGCCUCCAAUUUGUCAAUUGAUUUGCAGGUCGACUGAUAUAUUACGGUCGAAACUUUUGUAGUGCUGCAACAUGUGAUUAAACCUCCAGACGACGAUGAAGAUGUGCCUCUGAGGCCUAUGGUAAGGAGAAGUAGGAUCUCGGGCAGGAAGGUGCUGACCGGCAAGACAGCUCAGACGACAUCAGUGCCCGAACCGGUGAUCCAACAUACUAGAGACCUCAAUCGGGCCUUUGUCACUUUUGCCGAUCCUGUGUUGACCGAACGUCCAUCAGAGUCGACUGCACAAGAUCUUGCUUCAUCUGUUCAACUCCAUACUUCAGAUCCUCAGAUUGCUGCGAAUAAUCCACCGUCUCCGCUGUUCGUCACCCAUCAUGUCCUGGAGGAUCAGGCGAGCACUGCUAAAGAAGCUAUACGCCAAGCAUGCCUGAUGAUGGAGCGGAUGAAGAUGGUGCGUGAGACUAGCCAAGCCGCCUAUGACACCAGUGCAGCUCUCCAAGCCAACGUCCAGGUUAGUUGAUUUCCGACUGAUCUUCUAACUUGAUACUAGAGAACUGCUGCUUUCUUACUCGUAAGAUGUCCGUGGAUGAGCUGAACUUUCGAAUCAGUGGGGGCACGCAGAGUGCACCCACUGGGUGUAGUCCCCGAGACCAUCGUCGAAUGUUUGAUUCGGCGGGGGUCUUAGAUCUUUGUUGAUAAUAAAUCCACUCGGUCUCGAAUGGAUCCUGUCGAGUGAACUCUUAAACCAGUGGGGGCACGCCAAGUGCACCCACUAGGUGUAGUCCCCGAGACCGCGGUCGACUGCGGGCAGUUGGCGGUGCUAUGAGAUCCAAUAUUGUUGUUUCUUUUCUCUCUUUUUUGGGCGACUUGACUGAUCAAGUCGAGUACCGAACCAAACCAGUGGGGGCACGCGAAGUGCACCCACUGGGUGUAGUCCCUGAGACUACUGUUGAAUGUUUGAUUCUGCAGUAGUCUUAGAACUCUUUUCAUCACUCGGGAGCAAAUAAUCUUUGAUUCUGUCAACUGAUAUAUCUUAUUUACUAACUUCAGAAAUCCUGUGAGAUCAUAUCCCAAUUUGCUGAAUUCGAGAGGAAGCAGAUCCAGCUCAAUCUUGACCUGGACUUGGCCAAGCAAAACUUGCAGAAGGCCAAGGACAAAACAACUAGUAUGGAAGGUAAAAACUUGCCGACUGUGAGAUUGGACUGUCUCCCGAGUCAUCUUUCCGUUCUUCUUUCUAAACCAAGUGUUGUUCAUUAUUUUUUAGAGAAAAUGAGGCAGGCUCUGGCAUAGAAGGACCUUGAUCUUGCAGCGGCAUAGAAAGAGGCCGAAGAGAAAACAACACUUGCCGGUGAGAAGUUGGCUUCAAUCGGGACAUUAGAGGAAGACAACGCCAAGCUAAAGACUACUCUUGCGGAAGCUAACAAGGAAGUGACACGUCUGAACAAGGACAAGGUAGCCUUGAAUGACAAGAUUGAAGAUCUCUCUCGGAAGAGGAAUGAGCUGGAGGCUUAUCUGGGGGGACUCGCCAAGAAGUUAUUCCUCAUGCUUGAAGGUAUUUUCUCCUGGUCGACUGGUUUCUCUUGACAGUUGUUGAUUCCUCAGACGGCUCUUCGACUCAUUAUUUUACUGUGCUGUGCAGAAUUUUGCCAAAACUUCGAAGAAGAGACUGGGCAGAUCGAAACUAACUUGGACCCGAUCAACUCUCCUGUUAAGGAUGAAGCCGCCAUGAACAUACUCUGACUGGAAUCUCGUCUUGCCAGCGUCGUGGAUUAUCUGGCCUGACUGAAGGUAGCAGUUUCCUGAGUCGACAUGGCACUUUGGCCGAAGGAGAGGUUCCGGAAUGACCUCGAGUCUCUGAUGGAUCGACUUAAUGAGAUCGCCGGCUGAGUGCAAGCAUGGAAGAAGGCCUCCGCCCGAUGUGUUGCUGAUGUGGCUUUGUGCCUGGUUGUCCACUUCAAAGAGGCCAAGGAAGAAAAGCUGGCAGCACUCAAGGUUGCCAACACCAAAUAUCGCCAGUUCCAGUCCUUCAUGGAGACCUUCAUUGAAGCAGCCACUCGCAUCACGGACGGAAUUGACUUGGAUGAGUUCGUCGAGCCAGCCAGUCCUCAUCCAUAGGAGUGAACAAACUUUAAGCCUUAAUUAAAUUUGCCUCGGAAUGCCGAGUGAUUUUGUAACCGUUAAAACUCCUCUGGGCCUGAUGCUUGGGCACUUUUAUCUAUGGUUCUAAACCCUGCGAGAUUUAUCUGAACUUUGUUUUUCUUUUAAUAUGUUUUUCUUCACCUUUGCUACUUUUGAAUCUCUUGACUUCGAGUGAAACUUGAUUCUUCAGUCAGAAUGGUCACUGACUUUGUGAUGCAGCUCUGUCGAGUGGGUCAUGGACAAGGGCAUUUGGUGCUGUGCACGACCUGCACUUCAUUGUCCCUGCGGAUCGGGAUGGAGCAGACAUUGUACUUGUGGCGCAGCUCCGUCGAGUGGGUCAUGGACAAGAGCACUAGGUGUUGUGCAUGACCUGCACUUCGUCGUCCUUGUGGAUCGGGAUGGAGCGGACGUUGUACUUGUGGCGCAGCUCCGUCGAGUGGGUCAUGGACAAGAGCACUAGGUGUUGUGCACGACCUGCACUUCAUCGUCCUUGCGGAUAUGGAUGGUUUUUAACUUAGGCGAGUACGAGACUGCAGGUAAGCCUCCGAGUGGGAGGAUUGCUCUCCACUCGGUAGGAUUUUAGAAACUUAGGCGACUACAUGACUGCAGCUAAGCCUUCGAGUGGGAGGAUUGCUCUCCACUCGAUAGGAUUUUAGAAACUUAGGCGAGUACGUGACUGCAGCUAAGCCUCCGAGUGGGAGGAUUGCUUUCCACUCGGUAGGAUUUUAGAAACUUAGGCAAGUACGUGACUGCAGCUAAGCCUCCGAGUGGGAGGAUUUCUCUCCACUUGGUAGGAAUUUAGAAACUUAGGCGAGUACGUGACUGCAGCUAAGNNNNNNNNNNNNNNNNNNNNNNNNNNNNNNNNNNNNNNNNNNNNNNNNNNNNNNNNNNNNNNNNNNNNNNNNNNNNNNNNNNNNNNNNNNNNNNNNNNNNNNNNNNNNNNNNNNNNNNNNNNNNNNNNNNNNNNNNNNNNNNNNNNNNNNNNNNNNNNNNNNNNNNNNNNNNNNNNNNNNNNNNNNNNNNNNNNNNNNNNNNNNNNNNNNNNNNNNNNNNNNNNNNNNNNNNNNNNNNNNNNNNNNNNNNNNNNNNNNNNNNNNNNNNNNNNNNNNNNNNNNNNNNNNNNNNNNNNNNNNNNNNNNNNNNNNNNNNNNNNNNNNNNNNNNNNNNNNNNNNNNNNNNNNNNNNNAUUUUUAGAAACUUAGGAGAGUACGGGACUGCAGCUAAGCCCCCGAGUGGAAGGAUUGCUCUCCACUCGAUAGGAUUUUUAGAAACUUAGGCGAAUCAGGUUCGCAGCUAAGCCCCCAAGUGGAAGGAUUGCUCUCCACUCGGUAGGAUUUUUAGAAACUUAGGCGAAUCAGGUUCGCGGCUAAGCCCCCGAGUGGAAGGAUUGCUCUCCACUCGGUAGGAUUUUUAGAAACUUAGGCGAAUCAGGUUCACGGCUAAGCCCCCGAGUGGAGAGAUGGCUCUCCACUCGGAGUAGUUUUUGGAACUUAGGCGAAUCGGGUUCGCGCUAAGCCACCCACUGGGGGAUUCGAACAUGUAACUUGACAGGAUAACAAGUAUUAAGGCACUACAAAAUUUUUGUCUUUGAUAAGCAAACUGAACGAUUCUUAUUACAACUCAUUGACCCGAGUGCCUAAGUGUUAAAAUGGCGGAGCAGAUCCGCGUUCCAAGCGCGUGGCUCGUCUUUCUUGUGUUCAACAUUGUAAAGGUGAUAUGCUCCAUCGUGGAGCACCUUGGUGAUGAUGAAGGGACCUUCCCAAGCAGGAGCCAGCUUGUGAGGCCGUUGCUGAUCCACUCGGAGCACCAAAUCUCGUUCCUGAAAUGCCCGACCUCUCACGUUUCUGGCAUGGAAUUGAUGGAGGUCUUGCUCAUAAAUGGUCGAUCGAAUCAAGGACAUAUCUCUCUCUUCUUCCAAGAGGUCAACAGCAUCUUGCUGUGCCUGCUCUGCUUCAGCCUCUAAGAGAAGUUCCACUGGGGGCGCAUUGUGAAGCAAAUCGCUUGGCAGCACAGCUUCAGCCCCAUAGACCAUGAAGAAGGGAGUCCGACCAGUCGACCGAUUUGGCGUUGUUCUCAACCCCCAAAGGACGGAGGAAACUCAUCUACCCAAGCGCCUGCUGCAUGCUUGAGGUCACGCAUCAACCGGGGUUUCAGCCCUUGGAGGGUCAAACCAUUUGUUCUCUCUGCCUGCCCACUCGAUUGCAGAUGCGCGACAUACGCAUAGUCGACCUGAGUUCCUUGGGAGGCACAGAAUGCUCUGAACUCAUCAUAAUCAAAGUUGGAGCCAUUGUACGUGAUAAUACUACGAGGGACUCCAUAUCUGAAUGUCAGCUCUCUGAUGAAACUGAUGGAAGUGCUUGAAUUGAGACUCUUGAUAGGCUUGGCUUCGAUCCAUUUAGUGAACUUGUCGACUGCUACAAGCAAACGAGUGAAACCACUUCUGCCGGUCCUCAGGGGUCCAACCAUAUCCAAUCCCCAAACAGCAAAUGGCCAGAUGAGUGGAAUGGUCUUCAAGGCUGAAGCAGGUUUGUGGGACAUGUUGGAGUAGAACUGGCAGCCCUCACACUUGUCGACUAUUUCCUUUGCCAUUUCAUUUGCACGCGCCAGUAAAAACCUGCUCGGUAUGCUUUGGCCAUGAUUAUCCGAGAGGACGCAUGGUGACCACAGGUCCCCGAGUGGAUAUCAUUGAGAAUCAUUCGACCUUCUUCCGUUGUAAUGCAUCGUUGAGCAGCUCCAGUCACACUCUCUCUGUACAGUCGUCCACCUAUCAUGGCGAGGGCUUUGGAUCGACGGACGAUCUGACGGGCCUCAUCCUCAUCUUCUGGGAGCUUUUUUCUAAGUAUGUAUGCAACAUAUGCCACCGUCCAAUCAGGGGUGAUGACCAAAACCUCCAUGAUCAGAUUGACCAUGGCUGGGAUUUCAACUUCAGUCGAGUCUGUGGAACUUUUCGGUUGUGGGGGCUCUUCUGAGAAAGGAUCUUCUUGAACUGAUGGGGUGUGGAGAUGCUCCAAAAACACAUUGUUGGGAAUAGGCUCGCGAUUGGAGCCUAUCUUCACUAGAUCAUCAGCUGCUUGAUUCUUGACUUGGGGUACGUGGUGGAACUCUAACCCCUCAAACUUCUUUUCCAACUUCCUCACUACAUUGCAAUAGCCAGUCAUAGCUGGGCUCCUGAUAUCCCAUUCCUUCAUCACUUGAUUGACCACUAAAUCUGAGUCGUCGUGAACCAUUAGGCGACGGACACCGAGUGAAAUGGCCAUACGCAACCCGUACAAAAGUGCCUCAUAUUCAGCCUCAUUGUUGGAGGAAUCAAAGUGAAUCUAGAGAACAUAACUGAGAUUGUCACCUCGCGGGGAUACCAGGACUACACCAGCACCAGAACCAUUCAGCAUCUUGGACCCAUCAAAGAACAUAGUCCAAUUUUCCGAGUGAACCUGAGUCGGUUGAUGCUGCUCACUCCACUCGGCGAAGAAAUCUGCUAUUGCUUGGGACUUGAUUGCUUUCUUUGCCUCAAACUUGAUAUCUAACGGAAGAAGUUCAAUUGCCCAUUUCGCCACUCGACCAGUUGCAUCUCUGUUGUUCAGAAUUUCUGAUAAUGGAGCAUCACUGACAACUGAAACCGAGUGAGCUGAGAAGUAAUGUGCAACUUUCUUUGUCGUUAAAUAAAUUCCAUAAACCAACUUCUGAUAAUGAGGAUAUAUCUGCUUGGACGGAGUUAAGACUUCAGAAAUAUAAUACACUGGGUGCUGAACUUUGUAGGCUUUGCCUUCUUCUUCCCGCUCGACCGUGAGCACCAUACUGACAACUUGUCUAGUGGCUGCGAUAUAAAGCAGUAAAGGGUCUUUGCUGAUUGGAGCAGCAAGCACUGGCUGGGUGGAAAGUAGGGUUUUGAGCUCUGCAAACGCUGCGUCAGCUUCAAGAGUCCACUCGAACUUGUCAGAUUUCUUCAUCAGUCGGUAAAGAGGCAAUGCCUUUUCACCGAGACGAGAAAUGAAUCGGCUCAGUGCGGCCAGGCAACCAGUAAGCUUCUGGACAUCAUUCACAUGCACAGGGCGUUUCAUUCGGAGGAUUGCACCAACUUUUUCUGGGUUUGCAUCGAUCCCUUGUUCGGAAAUGAGAAAACCGAGUAACUUUCCUCCUGGGACUCCGAAUGUGCACUUUGAUGGAUUAAGCUUGAUAUCGUUCCUUCUCACAUUGGCAAAGAUUUCGGCGAGGUCAGUCAGUAGGUCGGAACCUUUACGUGACUUGACCAUGAUGUCAUCCAUGUAUGCUUCCACAUUCCGACUGAUUUGAGUGAGCAGGCACUUCUGAGUUAUGCGCAUGAAUGUGGCACCAGCAUUCUUGAGACCAAAGGGCAUGGUAACAUAGCAAAAGCACCCGAAUGGGGUGAUAAAAGAUGUUUUUUAUUUCAUCAGGACCAUACAGUCGGAUCUAAUGGUACCCGGAAUAAGCGUCCAAAAAGGACAAACGCUCGCAUCCCGCAGUCGAGUCAACAAUUUGAUCGAUGCGGGGCAGAGGGAAAUGAUCCUUUGGGCAGGCCUGAUUGAUAUGCUUGAAGUCGAUGCACAUGCGAAGUGAAUCGUCUUUCUUGGGGACCAUGACAACAUUGGCGAGCCACUAGGAGUGGUAUAUCUUGCGGAUGAACUCAGCUGCCAGAAGCCGAGCCACCUCCUCACCAAUUGCCUUCCUCUUCUCCACGGUGAACCGACGGAGAUGCUCUUUGACAUGUUUUUCUUUCGGGUCGACUCGCAAACAGUGCUCAGCCAGUCCCCUGGGUACACCUGGAAUGUCAGAAGGUUUCCUUGCAAAGAUGUCCCAGUUCUAAUGGAGGAACUGGAUGAGCGCUUAUUCCUAUUUGCUGUCGAGUGUUGUUGAGAUAUGAGUCGGAGCAACACUAGAAUCGGUCGAGUGAACAUGAACUUGCUUUGUUUCACUAGACGACUGAAAUGAAGAUUCUGAAGCAGGCUUCUUGGCAUGUAGCAAAUCACUCGGAUCUGCAUUCUUCUAGUACUCUUGCAUUUCCGUUGCUGCCAUCUGUUCAUCGACAAUCUUUGAGCCCUUCUGGAAACACUCAUCCGCUCUCUACCAAUUACCAGUGAUUGUGAUCACACCUUUGGGACCAGGCAUCUUCAGCUUGAGGUACACAUAACAUGGUCGAGCCAUGAAGCGGGCAUAUGUAGGCCUGCCCAGAAUAGCAUGAUAAGCACUGUGAAAAUCCACAACUUCAAAUGUCAACUUUUCCUUGCGAUAAUUCUUCGAAUCGCCGAAAACCACGUCAAGAAUGAUCUGUCCGAGUGAAUCAGCUUUUUUCCUAGGGAUGACAUCGUGGAAGCGCAUAUUCCUUUCACUGAGUUUGGACAUCGGGGUGCCCAUCUCUCGGAGAGUCUCGGCAUACAAAAUGUUCAAGCCACUGCCACCAUCCAUCAGGACCUUGGUCAAUCGAGUGCCCCCAAUGACUGGGUCGACCACCAACGCUUGCCGCCCCGGGGUAGCAACAUGUGCCGGAUGGUCAGAUUGGUCGAAUGUAAUGGGAGUCUUAGACCACUUCAAAUAUGUUGGCGUUGCCAGGGCAACCAAGUUCACUUCCCUAUUAAUGACUUUCAGUCGACUUUCGCUCUCAAGGUCAGCAAAAAUCACCAAAGUGUCAUUGAUGUUGGGGAAACCAUCAUCUUCCUCUUUGUCUUCGUCCUUAUCAGACUCUUUCUCUUUCUCUUUGGGCUGGCCCUCUUGGAAUUGCUGGUUAAGAGCAUCUCCAGCCAUUGGCCCCCUAGGCGGCAAUUUUACGCGCCCCCUGGGGGCGAGCCGGCGCUAAAAUCGCCGCAGGGGCAAGAGGGUUCCCAGCCGCUCGCCCAGGGUCGCCCCAGACGCGUUUUUUCAAGCUGAAUUCGGUGAAGUUUGGCUAAAAUUCGGCAAACUUGAUAUUCAUAUUAAACAUGUUCGGCAUUUUACAUAAAUUAUUAAAAAAACUAAUCUACGGGGCGAAGAACUCAAUCAGCGCAGCGAAGUCGUUGACAUCGCCGCCGCCAUCCUCCUCGUCGUCGGCGGCCUUCUCCUUCUUGAUGGCGCGGCCGCCCCUGCCGGACCCCUGCCCGGCGUCUCCAUGGCGGACAAGCGGUGGCGGUGCGUCAUUGUCGUUGCUGUCUGAUACGUCUCUGUCGUAUAUACUUUUCCAAACACUUUUGCCCUUUUUUGGACUCUAACUUGCAUGAUUUGAAUGGAACUUACCUGGACUGACGCUGUUUUCAGCAGAAUUGCCAUGGUGUUACUUAUGUGCAGAAACAAAAGUUCUCGGAAUGACCUGAAACUUCACGGAGAUUAUUUUUGGAAAUAAUAAAAAAUACUGGCAAAAGAUCAAGACAAGAGGGCCCACACCCUAGCCACGAGGGUGGGGGGCGCGCCUGCCCCCCUGGGCGCGCCCCCUACCUCGUGGACCCCCUGGACCUCCUCCGACCUCAACUCCAACUCUAUAUAUUCGUGUUCGGAGAGAAAAAAAUCAGAGAGAAAGAUUCAUCGCGUUUUACGAUACGGAGCCGCAGCCAAGCCCUAAACUCUCUCGGGAGGGCUGAUCUGGAGUCCGUUCGGGGCUCCGGAGAGGGGAAUUUGUCGCCAUCGUCAUCAUCAACCAUCCUCCAUCACCAAUUUCAUGAUGCUCACCGCCGUGCGUGAGUAAUUCCAUCGUAGGUUUGCUGGACGGUGAUGGGUUGGAUGAGAUUUAUCAUGUAAUCGGGUUAGUUUUGUUAGGGUUUGAUCCCUAGUAUCCACUAUGUUCUGAGAUUGAUGUUGCUAUGACUUUGCUAUGCUUAAUGCUUGUCACUAGGGCCCGAGUGCCAUGAUUUCAGAUAUGAACCUAUUAUGUUUUCAUCAAUAUAUGAGAGUUGUUGAUCCUAUCUUGCGAGUCUAUAGUCACCUACUAUGUGUUAUGAUCAGGCAACCCCGAAGUGACAAUAAUCAGGACUAGUUUCGGUGAUGACCGUAGUUUGAGGAGUUCAUGUAUUCACUAUGUGUUAAUGCUUUGGUCCGGUACUCUAUUAAAAGGAGGCCUUAAUAUCCCUUAGUUUCCACUAGGACCCCGCUGCCACAGGAGGGUAGGACAAAAGAUGCCAUGCAAGUUCUUUUCCAUAAGCACGUAUGACUAUAUUCGGAAUACAUGCCUACAUUAUAUUGAUGAAUUGGAGCUAGUUUUGUGUCACCCUAGGUUAUGACUGUUACAUGAUGAACCACAUCCGGCAUAAUUCUCCAUCACUGAUCCAUUGCCUACGGGCUUUUCAUAUAUUGUUCUUCCCUUAUUUACUUUUCCGUUGCUAUUGUUACAAUCACUGAAAAAUACCAAAAACAUUACUUUUGCUAUCGUUACCACUACUAUCAUAUUAAUUUUCUACUAAAUACCUUGCUACAGAUAUUAAGUUUCCAGGUGCGGUUGAAUUGACAACUCAGAUGCUAAUACUUGAGAAUAUUCUUUGGCUCCCCUUGUGUCGAAUCAAUAAAUUUGGGUUGAAUACUCUACCCUUGAAAACUGUUGCGAUUCCCUAUACUUGUGGGUUAUCAAGACUAUUUUCUGGCGCCGUUGCCGGGGAGCAUAGCUCUAUUCUUUGAGUCACUUGGGAUUUAUAUAUGCUUAUCAUUAUGAAGAACUUGAGAGAUCCAAAAACCAAGAUUUAUCCCUCAACUACGAGGGAAGGUAAGGAACUGCCAUCUAGCUCUGCACUUGAUUCACCUUCUGUUUUGAGUAAGCUUGCGACACCUAAACUUGCUUCUUCUAUUGAUUCUGAUAUGUUGCAUAUUAUUGAUGAUGCCACUUCUGCUAUGCAUGAUACUUAUGAUGAAACUAGUUCUACGCUUGAUACAAUUGUGCCCCUUGGUGAAUUUCUUGAUGAACAACUCGCUAGGGCUAGAGAGAAUGAAAUUAUUGAAAAUGAUAAUACUGAUGAAAGUGAUUAUGAAGGCUCUCCUAAUAAAUAUGAAUUACCUGAUGUGCCUGAGGACUAUGUUAUGGAUGAAGAAACUAAAAGAGACUUUCUUGCUUGCAACGAUAGAAGUGAUCUUAAGAAAUUAUUAGCUAAGCUUAAAAAAAACUCUGAAUGCUAGAAUGAAAUAUGAUCCUGCUUAUUCUACUUCACCUAUCUUUGUUACUGAUAAGGAUUAUGAAUUCUCUAUUGAUCCUAAUAUAAUUACUUUGGUUGAAUCUGAUCCUUUUUAUGGCUAUGAAUCUGAAACUGUUGUGGCACAUCUUACUAAAUUAAAUGAUAUAGCUACCCUGUUCACUAAUGAUGAGAGAACUCUCUACUUUUAUAUCCUUAAAAUAUUUCCAUUCUCAUUAAAGGGUGAUGCUAAGAUAUGGUUUAAUUUUCUUGAUCCUGGUUGUGUGUGUAGUCCCCAAGAUAUGAUUUAUUACUUCUCUGCUAAAUAUUUCCCUGAUCAUAAGAAACAAGCUGCCUUAAGGGAUAUAUAUAUAAUUUUGUGCAAAUUGAAGAAGAGAGUCUCCCACAAGGUUGGGGGAGGCUUCUCCAAUUACUUAAUGCGUUGCCUGAUCACCCUCUUAAGAAAAAUGAAAUACUUGAUAUCUUUUAUAAUGGACUAACCGAUGCUUCCAGAGAUUACCUGGAUAGUUGUGCUGGUUCUGUUUUCAGGGAAAGAACACCAGAUGAAGCUGAAAUUUUAUUGAAUAAUAUGUUGACAAAUGAAAAUAAUUGGACACUUCCUGAGUCAGCCCCUGAGCCUAGUCCUAAACCAACUCCGAAGAAAAGGGGUGUUCUAUUCCUUAGUCCUGAAGAUAUGCAAGAGGCAAAGAGAUCCAUGAAAGAAAAGGGUAUUAAAGCUGAAGAUGUUAAGAAUUUACCUCCUAUUGAAGAAAUACAUGGUCUUAAUUUACCACCUGUUGAAGAAAUAUAUGGUUUUAAUCCAUCACCUAUUGAAGAAACACAUGGUCUUGAUAAUCUGACACAGGUAGUAAAGGUAAAUUCUCUCUAUAGGUAUGAUAAAUAUGAAAUCCCAUUCACCAAGUUUGCUAGCCCAUGCUUAGAUGAGUUUGAUAAAUUUAUGGCUAAGCAAGAAGACUUCAAUGCUUAUUUUGGUAGAGAAUUAAAACGCAGUGCUGAUAUGCUUGAACACUUGGGUGAUUAUAUGGCUAAUGUCAAAGGUGAACUUAAACUUAUUAGUAAACAUGCUUCUAUGGUUACCACUCAAGUAGAACAAGUACUCAAGGCUCAAAAUGAUUUGCUCAAUGAAUUGAAUAGUAAGAAUAAGGACUAUGCUGUUAGAGUGGCUACUAGAACUAGUAAAUGACUCAGGAACCUUUGUAUCCUGAAGGCCACCCUAAGAGAAUUGAGCAAGAUUCUCAGGGAAAUAAUAUAGAUGCACCUAGUCCUUCUAAAAGGAAGAAAAAGAAAAAUGAUAGGACUUUGCAUGCUUCUAGUGAACCUAUUGCUGAAACACCUGAGAAUCCAAAUGAUAUUUCUAUUUCUGAUGCUGAAACACAAUCUGGUAAUGAACAUGAACCUAGUGAUAAUGUUAAUAAUAAUGUUCAUGUUGUUGUUCAACCUAGCAAUGAUAAUGAUAUAGAAAUUGAACCUGCUGUUGAUCUUGAUAACCCACAAUCAAAUAAUCAACAUUAUGAUAAGAGAGACUUUGGUGCUAGGAAACACGAUAAGGAAAGAGAGCCUUGGGUUCAGAAACCCAUGCCUUUUCAUCCCAAACCAUCCAAGAAAAAGAUGAUGAGGAUUUUGAGCGCUUUGCUGAAAUGAUUAGACCUAUCUUUUUGCGUAUGCGAUUAACUGAUAUGCUCAAAAUGAAUCCUUAUGCUAAGUAUGUGAAAGAAAUUGUUAUAAAUAAAAGAAACAUACCGGAAGCUGAAAUUUCCACCAUGCUUUCUAAUUAUACUUUUAAGGGUGGAAUACCUAAGAAGUUAGGAGAUCCAGGACUACCCACUAUACCAUGCUCCAUUAAAAGAAAUUAUGUUAAAACUGCUUUAUGUGAUCUUGGAGCCGGUGUUAGUGUUAUGCCUCUUUCUUCAUAUCGUAGACUUGAUUUGAAUAAGUUGACACCUACUGAAAUAUCUUUGCAAAUGGCUGAUAAAUCAACUGCUAUACAUGUCGGUAUUUGUGAGGAUGUGCCUGUUGUGGUUGCAGACGUUACUAUUUUAACGGACUUUGUUAUUCUUGAUAUUCCCGAGGACGAUAGUAUGUCUAUUAUUCUUGGAAGACCCUUUUUCAAUACUGCAGGAGCUAUUAUUGAUUGCACCAAAGGCAAUGUCACUUUUCAUGUUAAUGGUAAUGAGCAUACGGUACACUUUCCAAGGAAACAACCUCAAGUCCACAGUAUCAAUUCUGUUGGAAAAAUUCCAUCGAUUAUUUUUGGAGGUUUUGAAUUUCCUCUUCCUACUGUCAAGAAGAAAUAUGACAUUCUUAUUGUUGGGGAUGUGCAUGUCCCCGUUGAGGUAACCUAGUGUUAUUAUAAAAUUCUCUGGUUCCAUGUUAUUCGGAAUGAGUUUGUUAACAAGACUUGAUCGACCUUGUUAAUGGAUUCCUUUUGAUGAUCAUGAGAUGGAUGAAGUUAGAAAACACAACUCUCUGUACCCUCUUUUUACUUUCUGUUAUUUAUAUUAAAUAAAGGAAAAAUAGUAUUUUCUGUCUAUUAUCUGAAUUAUACGUGUGUCGGUGUCAAAACCGGCGGAUCUCGGGUAGGGGGUCCCGAACUAUGCGUCAAGGCCGAAUGGUAACAGGAGACAAGGGACAAGAUGUUUUUUACCCAGGUUCGGGCCCUCUCGAUGGAGGUAAUACCCUACUCCUACUUGAUUAAUAUUGAUGAUAUGGGUAGUACAAGAGUAGAUCUACCACAAGAUCAAGGAGGCUAAACCCUAGAAGCUAGCCUAUGGUAUGAUUGUUGUGUAUGGAGUUGAUUGCCUACAGACUACAACCCUCCGGUUUAUAUAGACACCGGAUAGGGUUAGGGUUACAUAGAGUCGGUUACAAUGGUAGGAGAUCUUGAAUAUCCGCAUCGCCAAGCUUGCCUUCCACGCCAAGGAAAGUCCCAUCCGGACACGGGACGAAGUCUUCAAUCUUGUAUCUUCAUAGUCCAGGAGUCCGGCUACCCGAACACCCCCUAAUCCAGGACUCCCUCAGUAGCCCCCGAACCAGGCUUCAAUGACAAUGAGUCCGGCGCGCAGAUUGUUCGGCAUUGCAAGGCGGGUUCCUCUCCGAAUCUUGUGUACCUAUAGGAAUAAUGUCCGAUUUUUGUAAUGUAGUGCUCCUCGACUUCCACGCCCAAUAAUGGCCAUCUUCGACGUGUUCAAACGAAUGCGAAAAGCCGGGGUGUUUUUACAUCCACACCCCUAGCCGUAUAAACGAGCCGCCUAUUUAACGGGAUGGGGAUUUAGGUCCAAACCACUUCUUCUCCUUUCCGCGAGUUAUCAUCAGAGCGCUUCCAGCAAAGGUCCAUUCCAACAUGACCAGCCGUCGCAGCUCCUCCCCUCGCCCCUCCGGUCCCAAACCCGGGGACUGGGAGAGUUGCACCAUCCCGCAUAGCGAGUUAGCAUCACUUCAGCCAAGGGAUUUCUCCCUCAGGCAUGCAUGGUCCCGGUCCGAGCCGGUCUCGCCACCUAUAAUGGCGGAAAACAAGCGGAGAGCACCCCCAAUCCUUCUAAAGGAGAGCAGGUGUGCCUCGUCCCCUAUCUAAUAAGGGGACUGGGAUUUCCAAUUCACCCAUUUCUUCGCGGGCUUCUGGAGUUCUACGGCCUCCAGCUGCACAACCUCACGCCCGCCUCUGUAUUGCAUAUUGCGGGUUUCGUCGCCCUUUGCGAGCUAUUUUUAGGCGUUGAGGCUCAUUUCGCGCUAUGGAAGAGGUUAUUCUGCCUGGUGCCCCGUUCUAAAGAGGGGUCUAUAUACCAAGUAGGCGGAGCCGAAGUAUGGCGCAUCGCCGGGACCGGAUACCUAUCCGGAACCCCAAAGAAGGCGUCCGAGGACUGGCCUUCAGAAUGGUUUUAUAUAGAUGAUGUCCCGCUACCGGACCCUAUCCGGGUCGGUCUCCGUGAGUUCAACAGUGCUCCAUUGAAGAAACGCUUGAGCUGGCGUCCGCGGAGCUCUUAGAGAGAAAGCGACAGAGACGUCCUUUACCUGAUGGGCCGGAUAAGACUGUUGGCUCAUUCCGGACUAACCAUGAUUGGAGUCAUGGCCGCAUGCAUUAUGCGGGGGAUGCAGCCACUUCAAUAUAGAGGCCACCCCAUGUGGGAUUUCAACGGGGAGGAUGACGCCACCCGUUACGGUCGUAAGGGGCCGGCUUCAGCUGCCGCCCUAGUAAAGAUCUUAUCCUCUUUGUACAAGGGAGAAAAGGAGGAAUUCCUCCGCGUCAACCCGCAGGCCGGAUUUACUAUGUACGAUCCUCCAAGUUGGGUAAGUGAACAACUACGCUUGCCCGUUUGUUUUGUACUCCCACGGUUAGAUAUGUAGUCUAACGACUUCAAUGCAGGAACUGCGACAGGUGGUAAAGGAUAUAAACAGCUGCCCUCCACAACCCGAGGACCCAGAACGGUCCCUCGAUCCGGACUCCGAAGAGGAUCCGGACAUAUCGGUGGAGCUUAUCGACGGGGUGUUCCAUCAGCUAAGCAAGGACAAUACCUUGGUAGCCAUCACGACUGAUUACUUAGGGUUAAUCCCGGCCUCCCAGGUGACAGGAACCGGAGUCUCCUUCCCUUGAGAGAGAUUCCACUCUCACAUAUUCUGGUGUUUCUGACGACAACCGUGUUUUGCAGGGGAGAUUUCCGAGGCAGGAGGCCGAACCUGCGGCGGCUAGCCAACGAGGGGCCGCAGGGCCCUGUGGGGCAAAAAGGAAUGUAGUACGGACUGAGAUGCCGGCGCAAAGGUAUAGCGCACCCUCUGCUUCCCUGGUGUUAUUCUGUCCAGGCAUAUUAACGUUCGUGCUAUCUUCAGAACGAAGAGACCUCGCCGGACUAUAUCCGGAGAGGUUGCCAAUCGCGCCUCCACCAGCCAGGCUCCAACAUCUGGCCAGGAAGCGGAGGCGAGCACAAGGUGCGCACCGGACACUCCUCCGACAGAGGAUGCAGACAUGCUAUCUGCCACAAAUUCUGAAGUGGAGAGUGCCAUGAACCACAGGCGUCGCCGGACAGUUCUACGCGACGCUUGUUUCUCCCAAGAGGCUUUAGAUGCCUUUAAUUUGGGAGAUGCGUACCUCCGUGCCGCUCAAAAUGGUUUAGCCAGAGCCACGGAGCAGUAUGUAAAAGACAUACGGGUAAGAAAAUUUUGGUCAAAUAUAUAUAUACCCGUAGCCCCCGAGACUUGAAACAGUUAGAGCAACUGAUUUAAGGAUCAUUUAAUAUUCAGGUUCAUACAGAGAGGAAUACUGUACUGUCCCAGGAGCUGGAAAAGUGCAAGGCCCAACAAGAGGCCGCACUAGCUGCAGCAGGGGAGUCCAAAGAGACCCCCUCAGGUAAGAUACACUUCAAAAGAUUAGUAUUGUGCGGUGUGGGUGCAAAUCUGACAAAUCAUGUUGCAGAUGGCACCAGACUCAAUCCGGAAAAGCAACAACUCUUACGCCGGCUAAAGGCCGGUGAGAGUACGUUGACAAAGGUGAGGCGAGAGAAGAAUGAUCUUCAGGAUGCCAACACCAGGCUGGACGUCGAACUUAAAGAUGUUCGUGGCCAGCUGUCGAACUCCACGAAGGAGAAUCAGCGGCUUCGACGCGGCAUAUUUAGUAAGUGCUUGAACGAACUUUGAAAAAAGAGUUUGGCGAGGAAGUCGACUAACAGAGUAAUGUCUGUAGGUAUGCUCACAGGUCGUCCUGCAGAGGAGAUGCCCGGUUCUACGGGUGACCUUCUUCCCGAACUCAUGCAACUGCACGAGCGAAUUCGGCAGGCGAUGCGAGGUGUUGCCCAAGCCUUAUGGCCUGCCCACUCCAUGCCCGAGGGCCUUGGAGAGCUUGCAGAGAAGCUGAAGGGAGCUCGGCGGCGCUUCCGGUUGUGGAAGAUAUCGGCCCGCCGACAAGGCGCUAGGGAAGCCUGGGUCAUGGUGAAGACCCGUUUUACGAAGUCUGACCCAAACCACAUGGCCGAGGUCGGACCAGUGGGGCCUGACGGGAAGGAGAUCCCUGUGAGCUUAGUAUACGGCCAAGUAGAGUUGGCCGUGAAGUAUUCCUAGCAGGACUGUAAAUUAGACAGCCUGUUAGAUGGUAUAGAAGAGGAAUACAAUUAGUCAGAAUGACUAUGUAAUUUUGAAUUGACAUGCGUAAUGCCUUCUAGCCGAAUUGUAGAUCGUUUGUCGUUGCCGACCUUUUCGCUUCAACCUCGGGACCUGACGGUCCGGAGUGUGUCCGAAUACCAUAGCGGUUAUAUAAGAACCGUGGUAUGCGUGGAGACCAGGCGUAGGGGUCAUUAGUGCUUUAUCAGACAAGUGCCCAACUAGUUAUGUUAUAUUACAUGGUUAGUAAGAAACAUCUUCCAGAGAGAAUAGUUUCGUUAGGGGUUCCUUUCGCUGGGAGGCAUGCCCUAAAGUGCAUGUCCGGACUGCGUAAAAAGACGCAGAAAAAAGCAUCUGGGGGCGCAUAGAAUGAGUAAAAAGAUCAUCUUUUAUCUCACCGACCGAAUAUUCCCUUAAGAAUGCUAGCUUUAGGCUUCACCCAGUCUGAGUUACACAUCCGGCUGACCCGGCAGUAACAAUCGCAGAGGUGCUCCCUUUACCGCCUAGCCGAACAAUCGGGAACGUAGGGGUAAGCACAGGAGCCAGGCAACCCAGCUUGGCCAAAACUUAAGUCAUAUCGAUGCAUAUAAUGGUGAAAAAAAGGGUACAUGCGGAAGUUUGACGCAUGUGUUGGGCGUGAAGCCCGUAUAAAUAAGCUUCUGUUAAAGAAGCCCCCAGGUUUAAUGAGCGCGAGUGGCGCAUCACUAGAUGAGCCUUUAAGGGCUAUAAAAGAAAAGAGGGGAAGGAGAGAAAUGUAAGACAGAAAAAUGCAAAAAAUGGACAGAGGAAGGAGACGAACAUAGAGUCCGGCGCUAGGCAUAGAAUCUUCGGAGACGGGUGGCAUUCCACGAGUUCGGCUCGAGUCGGUUAUCCGACGCAUCUCGCAAGCGGUACGCCCCGCCAGUCAGGACUUGGUCGAUUAUGAAUGGACCUUCCCACUUGGGCUUGAGUUUGUCCUUUUUCUUAUCUGGCAGGCGUAGAAAUAGUUCGCCAACAUUGUAAUUUUUGGCCCUUACUUCUCUGCUUUGACAUAUUCGGACCUGCUGUUGAUAAAAUGCGGAACGGGCUUUUGCCACGUCACGCUCCUCCUCCAGGGCGUCCAAGUUGUCCUGCCGAUCGAGCUCGGUUUCUCUUUCUUCGUACAUGCGCACUCUAGGUGAGUCAUGAAUUAUGUCGCAGGGCAGAACUGCCUCUGCGCCGUACACCAUAAAAAUGGUGUGUAUCCGGUGGUGUGAUUUGGCGUGGUCCGCAGCCCCCAUAGCACGGAGUCGAGCUCCUCUACCCAGUGCGUUUUAGAUUCCUUGAGGGACCGCACCAGUCUGGGUUUAAUGCCGCUCAUGAUAAGACCAUUUGCACGUUCGACCUGGCCGUUGGUUUGUGGGUGAUAGACGGAAGCAUAAUCGAGCUUGAUGCCCAUGUUUUUGCACCAGAGUUUUACCUCGUCGGCGGUAAAUUUUGUACCGUUAUCGAUUAUGAUGCUGUGGGGGACGCCAUAACGGUGUACAACCCCAGAUAUGAAGUCUAUCACAGGUCCGGAUUCAGUCGUUUUAACAAGCUUGGCUUCUAUCCAUUUGGUGAAUUUAUCCACCAUGACCAGUAAGUAUUUUUUCCUAUCGGCCCCACCUUUAAGGGGUCCGACCAUGUCAAGCCCCCAGACCACAAAAGGCCAGGUGAUGGGUAUAGUUUGGAGUGCGGUGGGUGGCAUAUGGCUUUGGUUGGCAAAAAGUUGGCAACCAGCGCAUCGUUGAACUAGGUCCUGAGCGUCUGCCCGGGCCGUCAGCCAAUAAAAGCCUGUACGAAAAGCCUUGCUAACAAGGGACCAAGCAGCGGCAUGGUGACCACCGAGUCCGACAUGAAUUUCAGCCAAAAGGUUCCACCCUUCCUCUUCGGAGAUGCACCUUUGAAGGACUCCGGUAGUGCUUUUCUUAUAAAGCUCUCCCUCAUGGACUCUAUAGGCUUUAGAUCGCCGCACUAUGCAGCGGGCCUCGUUUUGGUCCUCCGGGAGUUCCUGCCUAGUAAGGUAGGCUAGGAAUGGUUGUGUCCACGGGGCGAUGACCGCCAUUAUUAUGUGGGCUGAAGGUGUAAUUUCAUUGGUAGAGCCUCCAAUUGUGUCAGAUUGUUCGGCGUCGAGUGGUGCGGCUGGGUCCGGGCUGUUAUUUGCGGGUUCCCCCUCCCAUGCUAUGGAUGGCUUGAAAAAUCUUUCCAAAAAUAUGUUGGGGGGACUGCAUGCGUCUUGCUCCGAUGCGUGCCAGGACGUCCGCUUCUUGAUUGUUUUCUCGGGCUAUAUGGUGAAACUCCAGCCCUUCGAACCGAGCUGACAUUUUUAGGACGGCGUUGCGGUAAGCUGCUAUUUUUGGGUCCUUGGCAUCGAGGUCUCCAUUUAUUUGGGAUAUCGCGAGGUUUGAAUCCCCGCAUACCUCUAGGCGCUGGAUACCCAUGGAUACUGCUAUCCGGAGGCCAUGUAGGAGUGCCUCAUAUUCGGCUGCAUUGUUGGAAUCCAUGUACAUGAUCUGGAGCACAUAUUGGACUAUGUCUCCUGUGGGGGACGUCAGGACAAUGCCAGCCCCCAGUCCGGCCAACAUUUUGGAGCCGUCAAAAUGCAUAAUCCAGUUUGAAUAUGUGUCGUACUCUUUAGGGAGCUCGGCCUCCGUCCAUUCUGCGACGAAGUCGGCCAAAACUUGCGAUUUAAUAGCUCGCCGUGGCUUAUAGGUUAUAUCGAACGGGAGAAGCUCGAUGGCCCAUUUUGCAAUCCGGCCCAUUGCGUCACGGUUGUUGAUAAUAUCGUUGAGUGGUACUUCCGAGGCUACUGUUAUGGAACAAUCUUGAAAGUAGUGUCGUAGCUUCCGGGAUGCCAUGAAUACCGUGUAUGCAAUCUUUUGAUAAUGCGGGUACCGUGAUUUGCAUGGAGUGAGGACGGUGGAUACGUAGUAGACCGGCCUUUGAAGGGGGAAUUUGUGUCCAUCCGUUUCCCGCUCAACAACGAGUACUGCGCUGACAACUUGAUGUGUUGCUGCGAUGUACAAUAACAUUGGUUCGCCGGUGUUCGGCGCGGCCAGGACUGGGUUUGUUGCCAAUAUGGAUUUUAUUUCAUCAAGUCCGAUCGUGGCGGCCUCCAUCCACUCGAAGUGUUCGGUGCGCCGAAGGAGGCGAUAGAGGGGUAGUGCCUUUUCUCCCAAGCGGGAGAUGAAGCGGCUUAAAGCCGCCACGCAUCCGGUUAAUUUUUGUAUUUGUUUGAGGUCCUUUGGGAUAUCCAAUUGUGACAAAGCUCGGAUCUUGGCUGGAUUUGCUUCAAUUCCUCUACCGGAUACAAUGAAGUCCAAGAGCUUUCCGGCUGGAACGCCGAAGACGCAUUUUUCCAGGUUGAGCUUGAUGUCAUAUUUUUGGAGGUUAUCGAAUGUAAGCCUCAAGUCGUCUACUAGAGAUUCAACGUGUCUUGAUUUGACGACCACAUCGUCCACAUACGCCUCCACUGUUUUGCCGAUCUGAUUUGCCAGACAUGUCUGGAUCAUGCGCUGAUAUGUUGCGCCGGCGUUUUUUAGCCCGAAGGGCAUUGUGUUGAAGCAGAAUGGGCCGUAUGGUGUGAUGAAUGCUGUUGCAGCUUGGUCUGAUUCUGCCAUCUUGAUUUGAUGGUAACCGGAGUAUGCAUCGAGGAAACACAACAAAUCGUGUCCUGCGGUGGCAUCGAUAAUUUGGUCGAUGCGGGGGAGGGGGAAGGGAUCCUUUGGGCAAGCCUUCUUAAGGUCUUUAAAGUCGACACAUAGGCGCCAUGAUUUGUCCUUCUUUGGUACCAUCACCAGGUUUGCUAGCCAGUCCAGAUGUUUUAUGUCUUUGAUGAAUCUGGCCUCCAAUAGCUUGGCUAGCUCCUCUCCCAUAGCCCGUCUCUUGGGUUCGGAAAAACGCCGAAGGGCUUGUUUGACAGGUUUAAAUCCUUUUAGGAUAUUUAAGCUGUGUUCGGCUAGCCUGCGUGGGAUCCCUGGCAUGUCUGAAGGGUGCCAGGCGAAGAUGUCCCAGUUCUCUCGUAGGAACUCUCGUAGUGCGGUGUCAGCAUCAGGGUUCAGUCGUGCCCCGAUUGAAGCUGUUUUAUUGGGGUCCGUUGGAUGGACCUAGAAUUUGACUAUUUCGUCGGCUGGCUUGAAGGAUGUGGAUUUGGAUCUCUUAUCGAGUAUCACAUCAUCCCUGUUAACCGUGGAGCGCAGCACAGUCAGUUCCUCGGCCACUAAGGCUUCGGAUAGCGCCUCAAGGGCUAAGGCAGCCGUCUUGUUUUCGGCGCGGAGUGCUAUGUCCGGAUCACUAGCUAGAGUGAUAAUUCCAUUCGGCCCGGGCAUCUUAAGCUUCAUGUACCCAUAAUGGGGUAUUGCUUGGAAGAUUGUGAAUGCUUCUUGCCCUAGUAAAGCGUUAUAUCCGCUCUUAAACAGGGCCACCUGAAACGUGACUUCUUCGGACCUGUAAUUAUCUGGCGUGCCGAACACCACAUCUAGUGUGAUUUUUCCUGUGCAGCGCGCUUCCUGACUGGGGAUUAUUCCUCUAAAGGUUGUGCUGCUUCGCUCGAUGCGGUUCCAGUCUAUUUCCAUUUUUUGAAGGGUUUCCUCAUAAAUGAGGUUCAGUCCGCUGCCUCCAUCCAUGAGCACCUUGGUGAGGCGAAAGCCGUCCACUAUGGGACUGAGGACCAAUGCGGCUGGUGCUCGGGCUGUUCGGAAUCUAGGUUCAUCACUUGCGUUGAAGGUAAUAGCAGUGUCGCUCCAUGGAUUUAUUGUUGCAACUUGAUAGACUUCGGCGAGGCUGCGGAGUGUUCUUUUUCGCAUAUUGUUUGAUGCGAAAGUCUCGAAGACUGUGAGAAUGGUACUAGUAUCCUCGGGCUGGCUUUCUGCAGCCUCCAGAAUUAAGAGGUCCUCGCCAAUUUUGGCCACCUACCGGAGUAUCCAACAUGCUCUAAGGCUGUGAGUUGGUGUGGCGUCCUCUGUACUGUGAAUUCUACAGGGUCCAUCAAGCCACCUUUCCAGUACGGUUCCAUGCCCUGUAGAGGGUUUUGGUUUUUUGGUGUUUAUCUCGGGUGUCCUAUAAUGAUGCACCCUCUUAGUUCAGACGGGAUUACUAUUCAAGGCCGGAUGAUCCCAAAACUUUAUUUCGGUUUUCCAGGCGCUUUCCAUCGCAUAGUAUUUUUGUACUAUGGACGCCAAGUUAGCGAAGCGUGUAAUAUCACGACGACUUACGGCGUUAAGGAUUCCCUCAUCCGUGCAAUUACUGCAGAGAUUGCGUCUCCCUCGCGGCAAUCCUUUAUCCUGUUCAUAACCAGGAGGAAUCUGGCCCAGUAAUGAUGUACUGUUUCCUCAGGCCUCUGCCUGAUUUGGGAGAGAUCGCUUAUGUUCGGGUGGGCUGGUGUCGUUGAAUCUAAAACCUCACCCAAUCCAAGAUUCGAAGGCCGAAGAGUUUCCGAACUCUAAAGUUCGGAUUCUUGGAUGUUGUCCAACGAAUCUAGCCCGUUGCCUGAUCCUAAGCUCAGGUCUUGAGUUACAUCCUCCUCUCCGCGGGUAUCCGGCUUGGAGGAGUCAGAAAUUCAGACGUAGCUAGUCCUUAAAAUAGAUGAAGGGUCGCCGCACUGCGCCCCUACCACGGCAAUGUGGUGGGUGACUUGGGGAGAGUUAAUUUCUCUUAGAUCGGGUUUAAGCCCAACCUGGUCGUAAUCCGUAGCGACCCCCAGGGCGGUGAUGCGAUCCAAGAGCUCGUUUACGGAAGAGAGCUCCAUUGGAUCUAGCUGCUCGACGAGCUCCGAGCUGACGUGUAGGUUGCUUUUGAUGACCCGAGAGGUCACCGUCGGUGCAACAGCCGAACAGCCAAGGCUCCCUUAGCAACGGCGCCGUCUUUAAAAGACGGGAGGAGGCAUCCUUCCUGAUUGUGACGGCACAGAGGAACUCUCAAUGAAAGCACCAAUGUCGGUGUCAAAACCGGCGAAUCUCGGGUAGGGGGUCCCGAACUGUGCGUCAAGGCCGGAUGGUAACAGGAGACAAGGGACAAGAUGUUUUUUACCCAGGUUCGGGCCCUCUCGAUGGAGGUAAUACCCUACUCCUGCUUGAUUAAUAUUGAUGAUAUGGGUAGUACAAGAGUAGAUCUACCACGAGAUCAAGGAGGCUAAACCCUAGAAGCUAGCCUAUGGUAUGAUUGUUGUGUAUGGAGUUGAUUGCCUAUGGACUACAACCCUCCGAUUUAUAUAGACACCGGAUAGGGUUAGGGUUACAUAGAGUCGGUUACAAUGGUAGGAGAUCUUGAAUAUCCGCAUCGCCAAGCUUGCCUUCCACGCCAAGGAAAGUCCCAUCCGGACACGGGACGAAGUCUUCAAUCUUGUAUCUUCAUAGUCCAAGAGUUCGGCUGAAGGUAUAGUCCGGCUACCCGAACACCCCCUAAUCCAGGACUCCCUCAACGUGCAAUAUAAAAAUACCCCGAUUUUUUUCUCCAAAUGCCGUGAAAUUUAAAUAUGAUUUUUUCUGGAAUAUUUGAGAAUAUUUGGCACUGAGAACACAGUAGGGGGGAAUCCACCUGGCCACGAGGGUGGAGGGUGCACCCUACCCCCUGGACGCGCCCCUGCCUCGUGGGCGCAUGGUGGCCCUCCUCCACUUAUUCCUGCACCCAUACACUUCUUCUUCCUCCGACAAACACCACUAUCCAGCUCAAGCACGAGUUCUAGCUCAUUUUGCUGCGAUUUUCGAUCUCCUUGCUCAAAGCACCUCUCACAAAACUGCUUUGGGGGAUUGUUCCUUGGUAUGUGACUCCUCCAUUGGUCCAAUUAGUUUUUGUUCUAGUGCUUUAUUCAUUGCAUGUUUUUGCUGCCUAGGUGACCCUGUUCUUGAGCUUGCAUGUCAAAUUUAUAUGGUUCCAAGUAGUUCUAAUGCAUGAUAUAGGCUCUAGGCACUUGUAGGAGUAGUUGCUAUCAAUAUUGUUGAGUUUGGUUCACUUUUAUUUGAAGCUACUAAAAAUUUCAGAAUUUUUCAGAAAAUAAUGAAGAGAUUUUUGAGGGGCUCAUCGAGCCGAAGCUCGAAGGAAAAGCAAAAUGAAGAAGCAAAGAGGCCCAAAUAUAAUCUGCCUCACAUCACGGAGGUUCGGCCGUGUGAAUGGCCUUGUGAUGAUUUCUUGAGAGCAGCCGGGAUUUAUGAUGAUUUCUAUGAAUUGGCUGAGAAUGCAGGCCUCACCACCUUCCUCCACGACCAAUGGGAUCAGUAUCUCUUACUCACCAAUAUCUUUGUGCAAAACUUUCAUUUCCAUGCUAGGAGCUCACCACCUACGGUGGAGUUUUAUUUAUAUGAUGAGCAUAAGGAGAUGUCACUUCAUGAUUUUUGUCGGGUUUGUUUGAUCCCCUUAGAGGGCAUCAUAGAGGAACCACAUCGUGGCGAUGUGGAUGGGUUUAUUGAUACCAUCACUAUAGGGGAAACGAGGAAGGUUUCCGACGCACGAACCACUAGCAUACACUAUCUUGUUCUACGUUACUUUGCUAUAUUUGCUAGUAGAUGUUUAAUUGGGCGUGGAAACUGUGGAAACCUGAGUGCCCCUGAUAUUGUUAUUUUGUGCCACACCUUAUUUCGUGAUGAUACAUUCAGCAUGGGUGCUAUUAUUGCAAAGCGGUUAAAUCUUAACCGUACUAAGGGCCCCGUCUUUGGAGGCAUCUUCGCCUCACGCCUAGCUGCACAUUUUAACAUACCUAUUAGGCAUUAUGAGAAGGAAGAAAAAUUGCUGCCUCCUGUUUAUUUGGAUUAUAAGAGUAUGGUAGCACAUGAUUUUAUUGUUAAGAAUAGGGAAAAUGAGCUCAAAUACAAAUUGUUCUUUGAUAAACAUCAUCCUGAGACUAUUACCCUGCCUGCUCCUUCCUUGUUUGAUUUUUCUGCAGGCAAGUACCUUGUUCCGUUGGAGGCUAUUCAUGCCUACCGGAACCCUACAUCAGCCACAGAGCCAGAGUCGGAACCCCAAGUUGAUCCUCCACGCCAGUCUAAUUACCAGUGGGAUCUAGAGAUGAUUGGCAACCAGUGGAAAUCAGAGUCUUCCUCUUCACAGUACGACCCCAACUAUUACUUUGGAUAUCCGCCGGGCCAGCCGUGGCCAUAGACCAACUUAGGCCAAAAGCCUAAGCUUGGGGGAGUACGUAUUUCCCACCGACAUUACAUUCAUGUUCACACACUCAUUGCUAGUUGUCGGUGCUCAUACUUUUUCAUUGUAUCAUCCAUGCUAGUUUAUUUACUUUUUAUGCUUUCUUCUUGUGUGUUUAAUAAACCUUAAGAAAAACCAAAAAAAAAAA
RNAcentral lists this long non-coding RNA (57600 nucleotides) under Triticum aestivum (bread wheat). RNAcentral's name for it is "long non-coding RNA (TAES_LNC015156)". Lineage: Eukaryota; Viridiplantae; Streptophyta; Magnoliopsida; Poales; Poaceae. The record is from RNAcentral.